Molecule: long non-coding RNA, 67461 nt
Filed under: Triticum aestivum (bread wheat)
Lineage: Eukaryota; Viridiplantae; Streptophyta; Magnoliopsida; Poales; Poaceae
Description: long non-coding RNA (TAES_LNC025258)
Source: RNAcentral
UCAUUGUCAUGCUUAGCUGCUAGUGUUCUUGAUCGAUGGCUACCGCCGCGAAGACUUAGUUGCAAGGUGGGCGGAAUUUUCUGGAUUAUGAUUUGUCGCCUGCGCAUCCAGACGAUUUGUGCUGUGGUGUUGAAAGGGAUUGGAGAAUAGGCUGCAGAUUGAAGGCAAAUUUGGUUGUGAAUAAUAAGAGUUUGAGAGGGACAGAAGAGGAUUUGUGAGUGAGUGAGUGAGUGGAUUGUAGGUGCAGCAGGGAUAUAGUAUGUGUGGGGUGUAUAGAGAGAAGCAUGAGUUCAGUUCAAUUUAGCUAAAUUCAGUCAGACAUAAGUUUAGAACAAGAGAUUUUCAGGGUGUUUUCUCUUCCUUUUGCAUCCCAGUUACUUCUUGGUUAUUCGAUUAUUGUAUUUUUUAGUCAGCAUUUCUUAGCUUUCUUCUUAUGCUAAGUGUUUUAACCCGAUCACUUUGACGAAUUGUCUCAUGUCUUUCCUAUUCCUCUGAUGUGUUUCCAGAGUAGAAAUAUUGGAAACAUAUUCUGCUCUGAAUAAUUAGGGGAAAACACCUGCUGUUAUGGUUCUGAGACAUGGUUCAGCUGAUAGUGAUAGGCACUGUGAGGAUUUAGCCUGUGCCGUCGAACUUCAUUCGGAAAAUUAUUCUAAUGCCCCUUCUGUAUCAAAAUUCUAGAAUUCGUCUAAUACUUCCUCUGUAUCAAAAUGUAACAAGUUUUCUGACACUGCAUAGUGUUAAAAAACGUACUGUCCCCAAGUCCUACGUUUAUGAGUGUCCUGCAUCUGAGUUCCUUUUCAUUUGCCCUGCCUACUGUAGCAGGAUGUUAGAACUAUAUAGAUGUAAAUUUGCACAGUAACUUUGCAAGCAUAUUACUCACGAGAGAAUCUACGAAAGCCGCUGAAGUACGUACGAUGACUAGAUCGGUGCAACUUUGCCCGUAUCCUUUUUUCUUGAUAAGGCAUGGUCGAGGUGCUGGUGAGAUCUGGCGCUCCUGCCACGUGCUCGCUUGCUUCAGAAGAAUCCUGCCAGGAGCACCAUUUUUCUUUUCUUCCUCCCAAGAAACAUACUCCACGCCCUGUGUUCUGCAGGCAGCAGCAGCUGCUAUGUUUAUCCUCAUUGUUUACUUCAAGUCUGCAAUCCUGUUGUUAACUCUUUUGAUUAGAUUCAUUUGCUGGUCUUGGAAGGAAAGGGGCAGAGAAGGACAGCCUGAGAUUCCAAUCCGAAUUAUUUUACUGUCUUGACCGUUGUCUGCUUGCCCUUUGUGGCCAAAAGCUUGUGACUGCGAUUGUUAACUAAUUAACCUUUUGCUUUCGGAGCAACGCUCUCUUUGGUAAGUUUUUAUACUGUUAAUUUUCUCCUGGAAGCUCGUAGGACGCCUUGACUGGUGAGUGCUAGUGCUAUGUUCUAUGUGCCACCACACUACACUAGUACACACAUUGGUCGACCGGCCAGCAGCAUUUGGUUCUUUUGAGAGGAAAAAAGAAAGGCCAUCAUGGUCUGAUACCGCACCCCUUUGCGUCCGGGACGACCGUUGCGCGCCUUUUGCUGGUUUUGAUCAUGGCUGCUCUUUUGAUCGCAUCAUUACAGCGCUCACUGGCCGUUUGGAUUGAAACGAGGGUUUACAUUGUCCAUUGGUUUCCUGUGUUCUAAAAUAUUUCAUUUCGUCCGAAUGUAAGAGCAUAUUCAGCCGUUCACACCCUCACAGAGGUUAGAAAAAAGCGCCGCUUGGGGGUGAACCGACGAUAUUUUCGGCGUGGGGCGAUCGGGUUACAAGCCGCCGCCCCCAGACGCCCUUUUUGUAAAUAUUUUUAAAAACAUAUUCGGCCAAAAUUCGGCAAACACGACAUAGAUUCGGCGAUAUUUAGACGUUUCACAGGUUUUUACAUAUAGAAAACAUAUAAUCUACUAAAAGAAGAAAACAAAGGGUUGCUGCCGCGCCUACAGGUCGAAGAACUUGCUGAAGGCGUCGUAUAGUCGCCGCCGUCGUCCUCUUCCUUCUCCUUCACACCAUGGGCGUCACUGCUGGAACCCUGCCUGGGGUCGCCCUGGCGGACUGGUUUGGCCGGGGCGACGCCUCGUCGUCGUUGUCCUCGAGGACGACGACGCCUCCCUCGUCACAGCCACGGCGCCGUGCGGUGAUUUCGUCUAGGGCGCGGCGUUGACGCUCCAUCUCCAGCCGCGCCCAGUCCUCCUGCGCCCACUUCAUGACGGUCUCGUCGUCGAGUGCGGCCACGUCAGCGUGCUCACUCUUCACGAGGGCGAGCCCCGGCUCCAUCUUCAGCUUGACGCGGCGGGAGGUGCUCGAGGAGGCGCGGCCGCCCUCGCUGAUGACGAGGGCGGCGCCGCGGGUGCUCCGGCCGAGUGGCGUUUCCAUGGGCUCGGCCUUGACGCUGACGAGCGCCGGCAACCCGGAGGAGUGGUAGGAGGAUCAGGAGGAGGAGGAGGACCCGCUUAGCAUGCGCCUCGGUAGCCACGGGCCGCCGCUUCGGCGGGGGGCCGGGGCUGCCGGGUACUCGAGCGGUGGAUCGUUGCCGCCCUCGAGGUACUUGAGGACAGCGUGGAGCGUGCAUCCCGGGGCACCCCACCACAGGCGGCGGUCGUCGCUGUUGUUGCUUCCCCUUACCACCGGUGCGUUGUUGAUGGAGGCGAGCUGCUCCGCCUGACGACGUUCGAAGUAGCCGCCCACUCCUCGUGGUUGCCGGUGUCGUACUCCGGGAGGUCCCGUUCCUCCUCCGACAGAGAGGCCCGCACACGCUCGAUCUCAGCGUGGAAGUAGCCGAGGUGUCGGGUGGUAGGUGCGACAUAUGCCAACGGGUGGCUUAUCAUUGUGGGAGCCAGUAAGACGUCGCCGGUGCCUGGAAGCGGGAUGAGGCGAAGACAUGCGCGCCGGCGAAUCUUACCCAGCUUCGGGGCUCUCCGAGGAGAUAACACCUCUACUGCUGCUCUGCGGGGUCUCCGCAUGAUCACUAGAUGAACGAGUGGCUACAAGAUGCUCCUUGAGCUGUUUGGCGAGAGGAAGAAGAAGGGCACGGCUAGCUCUCCUCUCCUCUCUAUGUGGUGUCUAAUACUAGCUCAGAUCAACCCUUUGCAUGGGUGCCCCGGGGGGUUUAUAUAGGCUCACCCCCCGGGGGUACAAUGGUAAUCCGGCUGGGCGUGGGCCCCGGCCGUCUGUGUCUACGCUCGCCGACUUCUGCGCCGGCUGCUGGGUCCCGCCGGCUGCCGGCUCCUUGGUCGAUAGGCAGGCCCCACUGUCCAGGGCCUUGUCGGUGGCUGGUUGCUGUAGCUUCAACCUGGUGACGAGGGCUUCGCCGAGGUGGGCGUGGCUACAGUGCCGCCGCCCGGCGGGCGAUCGCUGUAGCCUCACUGCGUCUUGUCUCCUUAAUGGGGCAUUUACUUCGAGGGAGGAGGCGAGCCGGCCGUGGGGAGCCGGGCCCGUCUUGGGCCGACUAAGGGAGGCCUGGCCGCCUUCGGGUGUCUCUCUGCCUGAAGGGGCCCACCGCCCAUGGGCCACGCUGCCAGCCCGUCGUGGGUGACAUCAGGGCCAACAUGGCAACAGUGCCGCGUCGGACAGGUCAUGGCCACCCCGCACGACGCACUGUGCCAGGCGUGCUCCGGGAUUCGGGGGUGGCAGGCUUUACUGUAGCCACGCCCCGUCACAUCGCCGUUAUGUGGAUGCAGACUUCGAGGGUAGGAUCUUGAUCGCUUGGUGGGAGCCGGCCUCUUGGAGUCGGCCUUCUCGUGGCCGGCUUCUUGGAGCCGGCCCACCCGCGGCUUUCUUCAUGAGGGCUGAAGUCGGGCCGCCUUCUGAUAGUCGGCAUGGGAGACAGCUGGCAAGGGGAAGGCGGCCCCAUGUCUUGGAUUCUUGAGGGCCGGAUCGGCUCAUAAUUUUUUCAGAAGGGACAGGGGGAGCCGGCUAGGCUACCCGUGGUCAUUUACUCCGACAGUAUUCCCCGAAGCUGAUCGAGCUUCGAGGCUAACAAAGGGACGAGAAGCUUGGUCAGCUUCCUAUCCUGAGGAGCCGGCUUUGCUUAUGCGCGCCGUCUUCGGAAAGCUCCAUUUCUCGUAGGCGGGAACACGGGUCGGCCUGUGAGGUGACCGCACGCCAUCCCGCGGGCCACGUGGCAAGGAAAACCUGCCAACGCGCGUGCGCGAUGGGACGUCGCCGCAGGCCCGGGCCCGCCACUCCUAGGCCUCAGCCCGAGCGCGGAUCCUCUGCGGCCCACACGGACCGCUUGCCUUCCCGCGGCGGUUUUAUUACGCCAUCAGGGCGCAAUAAUCGCAGGACGUGGGGGAGUGGGCGCAGUUGAUCUCACGUUCCCCCACACCACGCCUCCUCGGCUCCGCCGCAUGGGUCUAUAAGUAGGGGGAGGAGGGGGAGCGGCAGAGGCUCGCACGCUCUCCCUUGCUCCGCCCCUUCUCGCCUUCCUUCUUCUUCCCUUCGCCGCCGCAGCGAUCCAUUGCCGCGCCGCUCCGCCGUCGGACCUCUCGGUUCCUUUGGUCCCGCCGUAGCGGGGUCGUGCGCGUCUCCGCCGUCGCAUCGUCUUGUUCCUCGCCGCGUCACUCCCAUGGCGUUGUCGAGCUCGUGGGAUGGCUCCAACGUCCACGAGGACCACGUUGAGUUCCUCCGCCGGACGCAGCGUCUGCCGGGCGAGAACUACGUGCGGGUUCGUCAGGCGCCGGCGAGGGAGAUUUUGCCGGCACUGGAGGAGGGCGAGCGGGUAAUCUUCCGCUCGCACUGCCUGCGCGGCUUCGGCCUCCCGGCGAGCGGAUUCCUUCGCGCUUUUCUUGAAUUCUACCACCUCCAGCCGCACCACCUCACGCCCAACGCAGUGAUGCUGCUGUCGGCUUUCGUCACCUUGUGCGAGGAAUUUCUUGGGGUUCUCCCCACUCUCGAGCUCUGGGGAGAAUUCUUCCAGAGCAAGCUCGGCACCGUUGUCGCGGGUGUGCCCGCCCCCUGCGGAGCCUUCAUUGCCAUGAGGCGGACGGGCGAGAACAAUCCGUUCCCGCCCAUCCCGCUGAUCCAGUCGGUGAAGCUCUGGCAGAAGUCCUAUUUUUACGUGAAGAACGUCGCCCAGCAAGGCGACUAUGUCAACCUGCCGGCUUACGUAGCCGGCCCGCCGGCUGGGAGGCAACCCUCAUGGAGCUACCGGGCCAGGUCGUUGUCUCAGGCCGGGAACGCAGCCGUCUCCCGGCUUCGGGUGAUGAUCCAGUCGGAGGGCCUGACCGGAGCCGACCUGGUGGCCGCCUUCGUGGAGCGCCGAGUACUUCCGCUCCAAGGCCGGCCUCACAUGAUUUGCCAGAUGAGCGGCCGCUUCGACCCCUGCCAGCUGAGCACUAGGGAGAUGCCUCAUGCCGAGGUGUCUUACAUGGUGAACUACAUCUCCAACUGCAAGCUCGCCGAGGAUUGAUGAUACGGCAAGGGGCCGUAUUCUCGCGCCAACCCUCCGCCUGCCGUAAGUUUUUCUUCUUUUCUUCCUUUUUGUAGCCGGCCUCGUGAUGGCCGACUUCUGAUCAAUUGGUUUGCCCUUAGCAGAACCCUCUUCUUCCGCCGACGGUCGGGGCCACAGGGGUAGAGCGCCAGCUCCUCCCCGACCGCACGGUGGACGACGUCGACGAUCCGGACCUGGGAGCGGCUGCCAUGGAAGACGCCAUCAUGGGGGAAGGCGACGAGGCAGGAGGCGCGGGGCUCGGGGCCGGCCUCGAGGACUGGGCGGACGAUGACGAGGUCGAAGCCGCCCGGCACCGCCAGCCGGCGCUUGAUCAUCAAGGCGCGGGCCCGUCUGCCGGGCCGGCUGCCCAUGGUGGUGCGCAGAAACGCCGGGCCGCGUCGACCUUCUUCGGCAGCCGGCCAAAGAAAUCCAAGGCUUCCAUGGCGGCGACCAAGAGGGAUGAGGCGGCCGUGAAGGCGGCCCGCUUCCGCAAGGCGGUGAAACAGCCGCAGGCGAUCUCGGCGUAAGUCGUCAAAUGUCUUGUAUUUUUUUUGUGUUGUCCUCUUGGAUUGAAGCUCUUCUAAACCUUUCUUUGCUCGCCGGGCAGGGCACCGCUUUCCCUCGAGCGAGGUCCUGGCGGCUCCGUAGUUGGACCGACUGGAGGGUCCUCAGGCUCCCGCCACGUGGAUCCCCGCGCCGACCUCAUGGAGGCCACGGAGCGGAACGCACGGGAGGUGUGGGAGGAGCGGGAGGCGGUGGAGCGAAGGACCGCCCAGGCGGCGAAGGAGCAGGCCGACGCGGCGGCCAAGGCCCGGGCGGAGGCGGCAGCCACGGAGACGGAGGCGGAGGCCUCGCACAACUAGCCCCCGCUGCUCGUCGUUCCCCUCCGCGCCGUGGCCCCCGACAUCCCCGUGCCCCCGUCGGAGGAGGUCGACCAAGACCCGCCGGUGAUGGAGAGGAGGGAGGGCCACGUGGUCUUCGUGGAGGAGGCACCGCAGACGGCACCGACUGGAGCGGGCCAAAGCGGCUAACCAGCCGUGGCGCCAGAGCAGCCGGCCGGGGGCGACCGGAGGCAGGGGCCGGCCUCGAGGUGUAGCCGGCAUUGCAGCAACGCGCAGGGGGAGGUACCUCCGCGCCGGAGCCACACUGAGCUGCGGGCGCUAGCCAGACGACGGAGGCCCUGGAGGCGGCCAGCGCCAGCACGUCCGAGUGGACUCCCAGCGGGGGGACAGGCGAGCUGAACGCGGCGGCCCAGGAGGUCCGGAACCGGCUUCAAGCCCAGGCCGCUUCGCUGCAGCGAUAUACCCAACAGUUCCUCGCGACGCGGGCCAUCAUCCGGGUGAGCCCUCUGGCCUUGGUUGUUUUGCUUUUUUCUUUUCUUCCGUGGGGGUGCGUCAGCACACCCACUGGGUGUAGUCCCCGAGUUACGAGUCGGCUGCUGAGCAGGUGGCUUGGAACUUACUAGGUCCUGACAGCUAUCUUAUUCUUUCCUCCUGUCUGAUCUUCCAGGAGUACCAUAACCUCCGCGCUGCUGCCUUCAACUCCCAGGCUCAGGAGCUGGGCCGGAAAACCGAGGACCUGACCAGCAGGCAGAGUGCGUGCUUUGUUUCGUUCAUCUCCCGUGGGGGCGCGUCAGUGCACCCACUGGGUGUAGUCCCCGAGAUUCGGGCCGACUGCUGAGCAGUCGGGUCGGAUCUUCCUUGACGACUUCUUCCUUAUUGAUUUUUCCUUUGUCUUCAUGCUUGCAGGAGCCAAUGCCGACUUGAGGGGGUAGCUCAGCGGGGCCCAGGCCGCCCUUCGUGCCAAGGAAGCCGAGUACAACGCCUUGGUCCUGGAGCGUGACCGCCUGGCCAAGAAGUUGGCCGACCAGGAGGAGAGCCACAAGGCGGCCUUGAAGAAGGCGCAGGACAGCGAGGACGCCCUGAAGGCCGAGUUCGAGACCGAAGCGGCGGGCUGGGCUGAGGCAAAACAAGCGCUGAGCGAGGGCUUCUGCCGGAUUGAGGAUCUGAUCGAUGGUAAGCCACCUUCCUCACUCGUUGCUUGCCCCUUGCCCCCUGAUUUGUGUUCUGACUUGCGCUGCUUUUUGUUCUCUGUGCAGACUACUUCCCCGGCUACUCUGUCUUGGCCACCCAAACCAUCAAGGCCCAUCGCGAGGCACGCCGGCAGGCGGGGGCUGAAAUCGCGCCGGACGCGAGCCGGACGCUGGAGGAGCAACUCUUGGCGGUCCAAGCCCGGCUGCAGCCGGCCCACCGCAUGCUCCGCCGCCUCCAGCGCGCUGGGGCGCAGGUGUUGGCCACCCUCUGGCCAGGAGAAACGAUUCCCCGCACCCCGAGUUGGACUGCCGACUGCCUGGAGGUUGCGGUGGCCGCUUCGAGGCCUGGAAGGCAUCGGCGGCCCGGCUUGGAGCUUGGCGGGCGCUGCAGUUCAUUCGAGCCUGGUAUCCUGGGCUGAACCUGGACCAGCUGCGCACCUGGCGGCUGGAGGCCGACGAGGAGAUGGAGGAGGUGCGGCCGACUAUCGCUCAGCGUGCCUCGACGAUCGCCGAGUGCACUGACAUCAGCGUCUUUGCUCCUAAAAUAAAUGACGACGGUGUUGCCCAGCCGGAGGAAUGGUUCGGGCUGGAUCCGGCAGCGGGUGAGGACUCGGCAGAGGAGAUCGCUUCCAGCGAUGAAGGAGAAGACGACGAACGGGAGGAAGGCGAAGACGUCGAGCCGGCCAGUGAAGCGGCCAGCCAGCCCCAGCCUGACCGUGCCUCCAGCAACGAGGCGCGUGCUAGCGCGCCCUCUGCGGGAGGUGGUGAUCAUGACGAGGUUCGCCAGCCGGCCACUCCUCCAGCCAGCACUGCCGUCUCCACCGACCUGCCCGACUCGCCAGUCGCUCCCUUGGCUUAAUCUGUCGUCCUUGCUUUUCCUGCUUGUUACUCUUUGAACAAUUUUUGUUAAACUUGCGCAGUUCCACCCACUGGGGGUGUAUUCAAACUAUGUUGAAUGCUGGCCUUUCGAAGGCCUUUUGUGUAAGUAUGAUCGUGUGUGUGUUUGGCUUCCAUUCGUGUAUGCUUUUUAUCUUUAGGCUAUUUCCUUUGCCGCCUUCCCCUAGCUGCUGCCUUCCCAACCGGCAGCUGCUCUGCAGCCUGCGGCUAAGGAAGAACUUGGCUAUAUUUAUUAUUAUUAUUUUUGGGGAAGGCAAGUACUCGAGCUUUCUUAGAUUGAAGCUAGGUGAAUGGAAGCCGGCCGGCUGGCUACUCUGGUAGUCGGUCGGUGGUGGGAGAAAAACCAGCUUUUGUUAUAUUAGUCCGUUAGUCCCUAGCCGUUUUUCGUGUGGGCGUCCUUUCCUGCCUUUAACUCUUGCCAGCCGGACAGCCGGUUCUUCGAACUGCGACUUUUGGUAAGAGAAGGCUUGGGUGUCGGCACACUACUUGUCUGACCGCGGGUAGGACUUCUAAUAUAACUGAAGGCGGUCAGUCCCCAGGCCGACUAGUCGAACCCGGUGCCGGACGAAAAAAGUGAAUGUAAUGACAUGAUCAUAAGCAUGAUAUUCUUCAUUUAUAGAUAAAAGAUGGCAGCCCCCGAGCUCUCCUCGGGGGGCCUAUUGUCUCGUACUUAGUACAAAAGUUAGCGUGAUACAUACUGCAUUUCAACUGUAAAAUCUUCGGAGGAGGUUGGCGUUCCAUGGUCGUUCUGACUCUUGGCCGGAGUCGUCUCUCUUUCGUGCCUUCGGCUUCUGUGCGUCGAUUAGGUAGUAGGUGUCAUUUCCCAGCGCUCUGCUGAUGACGAAGGGGCCUUCCCAAGGGGCCGAAAGCUUGUGCUGGCCGGCUGUUCGCUGGAUCAGCCGGAGCACGAGGUCGCCCUCUUGGAAAGAUUUUGGUUUGACCUUCCAGCUGUGGUAGCGGCGCAAGCUCUGCUGGUAGAUGGCGGACCGGCCGAGGGCUAACAGCCGGCCUUCUUCCAGCAGGUCGACGCCGUCUUCUCGUGCUUCCUUGGCAUCCGCCUCUGUGUACAUGGUUACCCGAGGCGAGUCGAACUCGAUGUCGGUUGGGAUGACCGCCUCAGCACCAUACACGAGGAAGAAAGGAGUGAAGCCGGUUGACUUGUUUGGGGUAGUGCACAGACUCCAGAGGACGGCCGGCAGCCCAUCGAGCCAACAGCUGACCGAACGUUCCAGUGGUAUGACCAGUCGGGGCUUGAUGCCGGAAAGGAUGAGGCCGUUGGCUCGCUCGACUUGGCCGUUUGACUGCGGGUGGGCAACGGACGCUAAGUCCAACCAGAUGCCCUGCGUCGCGCAGAAACGUGCCAAAGCUCCUUUGGUGAAAUUCGUGCCGUUGUCGGUGAUGAUGCUAUGUGGCACGCCAUAGCGAGUUGUUAUAUCUGCGAUGAAUGUCACGGCAGUCGGCCCAUUCAGCUUCUUGAUUGGCUUUGCCUCAAUCCAUUUGGUGAAUUUGUCCACGGCGACAAGCAGAUGUGUCAUGCCGCCGCACGUCGUCUUGAAUGGGCCCACCAUGUCCAGUCCCCAAACAGCGAGGGGCCAAGUGAGGGGAAUGGUCUUGAGUGCCGAAGCCGGCAUGUGUUGCUUGGAGCUGAAGACUUGUCACCCUUUGCAAUGUUUAACUAACUCCUUGGCGUCAUCCAAGGCAGUUGGCCAAAAGAACCCAUGGCGGAAAGCUUUGGCGACGAGUGAUCUUGAGGCCGCAUGGUGGCCGCAUUCUCCUUGGUGGAUGUCUCUGAGGAUUGCAAUGCCCUUCUCUUGCUCGACGCAUCGUUGGAAGACUCCAGUGACGCUGCGCCUGACGAGCUCUCUAUUGACGAUUGUGUAUGCUCCGGCUCGGCGUUGGACUUGUCUUGCCUCUAUUUCAUCAGCCGGCAGAUCUUGGUUUAUUAGGAAGUUAAGGAUGGACUGAGCCCAUGAUGGAGCUGCGACUUCUUCUAUUGCCAACACGGCUACUGCGACCAGGGCGGGCGAGCUGGGUGGUGAAAUGCUGGAGUCGGCCGCCGCCUGUUGCGUUGGUGCAGUCCCCGGGCCGACUACCGCAGUCCCCGAGUCGGGUGUGGCAGUCCCCGGGUUGGGCGUAACUAUGGAAGUCCCUGAGCCGCUUACUGACGUCCCCGGGCCGACUAUCGAAGUCUCCGGGUCACCUGCUGGGUUCUUCGAGCCGGACCCGGCCGCGUCGGGGUCAGGCGGCACGAAGAUGGAAUCGGACUCUGGAGACGGCUUGAUAGAAUGCUUGAGGAGGCGUUGCAGAGAGACACCGGUUGGUAUUGCCUGCCGAGUGGAGCCUAUUCGAGCCAGGGUAUCAGCUGGCUCGUUGUCGGCUCGCGGUACGUGGAGGAACUUGCAUCCUUCAAAGUACCCGCUGAUCUGCUGAACGAGGAAGCGGUAGCUUGCCAUAUUUGCGUCCUUGGCAUCCCAGUCACCGGAUGAUUGCUGGACUACCAAGUCCGAGUCGCCAUAACAUAGGAUCCGGCGUAUGCCGAGCUCUUUGGCAAGCCGGAGCCCGUGUAUGAGCGCCUCGUACUCGGCCACGUUGUUGGAGGCGGCAAAGUGAAUUUGCAGUGUGUAUCUGAGCUUGUCGCCUUUGGGAGAGGUGAGGAUGACUCCGGCUCCCAAGCCGGUGCGCAUCUUGGACCCGUCAAAGUGCAUGCGCCAAUGAGUGGAGUCAGGAGCUGGCAGUAGGUACUGGGUCUUGGCCCAGUCGACGAGGAAGUCGGCCAGUGCUUGGGACUUGAUGGCGGUGCGAGGCUGGUAGAAGAUCGUGUAGGGGGCCAGCUCGAUGGCCCAUUUCGCCACCCAGCCGGAUGCAUCCCGGUUGCCUAUGAUCUCGGCAAGCGGGGCGGUGCAUACGACCGUGAUGAGGUGCUCUUGGAAGUAGGGCUUUAGCUUCUUGGCGGCGAAGUACAUGCCAUAGCACAUCUUCUGGUAGUGCGGGUAGUUCUGCUUUGAGGUAGACAACACCUCGCUCAAAUAGUACACCGACCUCUGGACCGGCUGGGCUCGACCCUCUUCUGGGCGCUGGACUACGAUGACGGUGCUGACCACCCGACUGGUUGCAGCAAUGUAGAGGAGCAUGGGCUCUUUCUCAGUCGGUGCCGCCAGGACAGGCGGCGUGGCCAGCAUCUUCUUCAGCUCAUGAAAAGCUUGGUCGGCUUGGUCGUUCCACUCGAAGUGAGUGGUCUUCUUCAUGAGGCGGUAGAGGGGGAGAGCUUUCUCUCUGAGCCGGCUGAUGAAGAGGUUCAGGGAGGCCAAGCACCCGGUGAACUUCUGGACGUCUCGAAGUUUGGUGGGAAUCGCCAUUCUCUCAAUGGCCUUGAUCUUUAUUGGGUUGCAUUCAAUGCCGCGUUCGGAGACCAGGAAGCCUAGGAGCUGGCCGGCUGGCACUCCGAACACGCAUUUCUCGGGGUUGAGCUUGAUCUGGAACCGGUGCAGGUUUUCAAAUGUUUCCUUGAGGUCCUCCAGCAAGGUGUCGCGCUUCUCCGUCUUCACCACAAUGUCGUCUACGUAGACGUGGGCAUUUCUGCCUAGCUGCUUGAGGAGGCACUUCUGCAUGCAACACUGAAAAGUGGCACCGGCAUUUCUCAAGCCGAAUGUCAUAGUCAGGUAGCAGAAAGCUCCGAAUGGCGUGAUGAAGGCGGUCUUCAGGCGGUCAGCCGGAUCUAGCUUUAUCUGGUGGUAUCCUGAGUAAGCAUCCAAGAAACUCAACAGCUCGCAUCCGGCCGUGGAGUCUAUCACUUGAUCAAUCCUUGGCAGGGCAAAGGGAUCUUUGGGGCAGGCCUUGUUGAGGCUUGUGUAGUCUAUGCACAUGCGCCACUUGUUCUUCUUCUUUAGCACGAGGACCGGGUUGGCGAGCCACUCUGGAAAAAAAACCUCCAUAAUGAAGCCAGCUGCCAGAAGCUGGGCUAUCUCCUCUCCCACAAUCCUUCUUUUCUCCUCCAACAGUCGGCGGAGGGGUUGUUUGACUGGUUUUGCGCCUUCUCGGACGUGUAGCUUGUGCUCGGCGAAUUCCUUCGGAACACCCAGCAUGUCCUUAGGGGACCAUGCAAAGAUAUCCCGAUUCUCGGGGAGGAAGUCGGCGAGCUCGCCUUCCUAUUUGCUGUUUAGGUUUGCCCCGAUAACGGCAAACCUUUCUGGGUGCUCGGGGUCAAGAGGUAUCUUCUUCGUCUCCUUGGCCGGCUGGAAAGAUCCUUGGGCAUCACACACCUUGGGAUCGGAGGACAGGGCCGACUGUUUGCUGGCCAUGGCCACGACUCGGUCCAACAUCUUCUUUUCUUCGGCAGUCACCAGGGACUCGGCCAGCCGGCUGCUGGCUGCAGCGCACUCAGAAGAUUUCUUGUAAUCGCCGGCUAUGGUGAGGAUGCCCUUGGCGCUCGGCAUCUUCAUCUUGAGGUAAGAAUAGUGGGGAACAGCCAUGAACCUGGCCAAGGCAGGACGGCCAAGCAAUGCAUGGUAGGGGCUCUCCAGGUCCACCACUUCAAACCAGAUCGCUUCUUGGCGGAAAUGCUCCUUGUCCCCAAAGAGUACAUCAAUCUUGAUCUUGCCAAUGGGGGCGCAGGACAGGCCAGGUACAAUGCCAUGGAACACAGUUCGAGUAGGCAUGAGUUGCUUCGUCUUGACGUUCAGCUUCUCCAGGGUGUCACGGUACAGGAUGUUGAUGCUGCUCCCGCCGUCUAUCAGCACUCGGGAGAAACGGGCGGCGCGUCUUUCCGUUGCAAGGGUGGCAUCCAAAACCAACGCAUAAGAGCCGGGAGAUGGCAUCACCUCUGGGUGGUCGGCCCGGCUCCAGCUGAUAGGCUUUUCUGACCAGUGCAUGUGCUCGGCGGGGUUGGUAGCGACCAUGUUGACUUCUUGGUGCUCUCGGCGUCCGCUACGCCGGCCUUCGGGCUGGCUUGUAAAGACGAUGUAGGCGGCAUGCUCGUCGGGGAACUCAUCGUGCACAGCUCCGACUGCUGGCCGAGCGGUCAGCGGCUGUGGAGCCGGAGGCGGCGGGCCAGCAGGCGGAGGCGGCGCGAGCCCUUCGCCUUUGGAGAUUCGGGUGAGCCAGUGGCACUUCCGGGUUGUGUGGUUGGACGGCUUCGCACCGCUGUGGAACUUGCAUGGGGCUUCGAGAGUUUGCUCGUAGGAGAAGGCCGGCUGCCAAGCCGGCCUACCGCCCUUCGGCUUCUUGGGUGCGGGCCACCCUUCGGGCUGCUUGUCCUCGACUGUGGCCACCUGCCGGCUAGUGGAGAGCGGCACGGGGCCCUUGCGCUUGUGGUCGUUCUGGUACGAGCGUCAGCCGGAGUCCCCAGCCGGCGUCUUGUGCACCGGGUUGAUUACCUUCCCGGACGCGUCUACCCGGAGUUCAGUCUUCAUUGAGGAGUUGGCGGUGGCGUACUUGUCCGCUAUGACCAGAAGCUCGUCGAGGGUAGUCGGCUCGUCGCAGAGGAGCUUGUGCUUGAGGAGGGUGCCUUCUCGGCAUCCGGCGGUGAAGUAUUCUAUGGCUUGCACCUCGUGCACCCCUUCGCAAGAGUUGCGGAGCUCGGCCCAACGCGUGAGGUAGUCGCGGGUGGACUCGGCGGGGCCUUGUACGCACAAGGAGAGCUGUCGGGGCUUGGGGGCGCGCUUGUAGGUGCUGGUGAAGUUGCAGACGAAGGCCUCCGUGAAGUCUAGCCAGCUAUUGAUGCUGUAGGGCCUGAGGCUAUUGAGCCAGGUCCGCGCCGUGCCUUGCAGCAUGAGGGGCACGUACUUCAUGGCAACGCACCUGUUGCCGUUUGCUAUGCGAACCGCUGUGGAGUAAUCGAUCAACCAAUCUUCCGGCUUCACAAAGCCGUUGUACUUGGGCGUGUCUCUUGGGAGCGAGAACCCUUUGGGGAAAGGCUCGUCGCGGAUGCGGGGGCCGAAGCAAGGUGGGCCGACAUCGUCUUCUUCUUCUAGCGCUAGGGAUCGCGCUAGGCGGUCGAUCCGAUGGCGGGCGUCGUUCUCGCCGACUCCUUCACGGAGACCUAGUCGGCCGCUGAGAGUCGGAUGCGUGACAGGCGGCGGGGUGGGAUAUCUCUCCCCACGAGGCGGAGGCGGAGGCGGGUUGCCCCGCCGCUCCACGGCCCGGGGACGGCCUUCUGCGUCUCGCUCGAUGGAGGUCCGGGUUCGGUUUCGGCUGGCAGCCGGCUCCUUCUCGCGUCGCGCGCGGGUUUUACCCGCAGUCGGCGUCCGGGACGUCGCGCCGUGCUCUCGGCGCGGGGAAGGGCUUUCCGCGCGGGCGUCGGCUUCGUGCCACUCUGCGACUGCAUCGAUUAGUUGCUGGAUGCACCUGGUCAUGUGGGGGAGUUCUUCGGCCCCCAUUCCAUCUAGCUCGUCUACGGCCGCUUGGGCGGCGCGCAGGUUCUCGAGCGGAGUGGCAUAGACUGGGCGGUCGACCCCUAGUGUGUCGGCGAGGGUAGCGCCGCGCUGUCUGACAACGCCGGCUCAGCUUGGCCCGCCUGGGGGCGGCAUGCCAAAGGCGGCGCGGUCGGCUUCACGCUGGUGGGCCUCGGUGAGGCGUCUCAUGGAAGCCAACUUCCGGCCCUCCGCGAGGAGGGCGAGGCGGCGAGCCUCCAGUGCUUCGGCGCCGGCAUCGGCCGGGAGGGGGAUGGACAAAUCGUGGACCGCUGCAUGCGGGGCGUCGAGGGCAUUCUCACCAGAAGCGUAGCCGUGGCCGAUGACCAUCACCUCGGUGGUGGCGCCGUCGCAGCCAUCGGCCCGGGGAAGAGGGUCGUUGUAGAUCGCGACGUUGGUGGGGAAAGCGUCGAGCGAGGCCGUGUCGGAGUCGACAGGCAUCGGAUCGGUGGAGCCAACAGACUCCAAGUCCACAGCAAGCUCGCCGGAGACGUGGAGCUAGCCGAGGAGGUUGACGAGGUGGUCGGUGCCCGCGUCAGAGGUGAGCUCAUCGGAGAUGAGGGUCUUGUCAAGGAGAUCUGCGAGGCUGCUCGCUGCGCAGACGUUGGCGACGCCUUGCACCGCGUCAUGGCAAGCGCCAUCGGGCGUGCCGGGCUGGCUACGCUCGCUGGGGAGGAAGAGGGUUCCCGUCCAGAACAGGUCUCUGGACGACGGUGCACCUGGCCCCAUGGUGGGCGCCAAAUGUCGGGUGGUAGGUGCGACAUAUGCCAAUGGGUGGCUUAUCAUUGUGGGAGCCAGUAAGACGUCGCCGGUGCCUAGAAGCGGGAUGAGGGGAAGACAUGCGCGCCGGCGAAUCUUACCCAGCUUCGGGGCUCUCCGAGGAGAUAACACCCCUACUGCUGCUCUGCGGGGUCUCCGCAUGAUCACUAGAUGAACGAGUGGCUACAAGAUGCUCCUUGAGCUGUUUGGCGAGAGGAAGAAGAAGGGCACGGCUAGCUCUCCUCUCCUCUCUAUGUGGUGUCUAAUACUAGCUCAGAUCAACCCUUUGCAUGGGUGCCCCGGGGGGUUUAUAUAGGCUCACCCCCCGGGGGUAUAAUGGUAAUCCGGCUGGGCGUGGGCCCCGGCCGUCUGUGUCUAUGCUCGCCGACUUCUGCGCCGGCUGCUGGGUCCCGCCGGCUGCCGGCUCCUUGGUCGAUAGGCAGGCCCCACUGUCCAGGGCCUUGUCGGUGGCUGGUUGCUGUAGCUUCAACCUGGUGACGAGGGCUUCGCCGAGGUGGGCGUGGCUACAGUGCCGCCGCCCGGCGGGCGAUUGCUAUAGCCUCACUGCGUCUUGUCUCCUUAAUGGGGCGUUUACUUCGAGGGAGGAGGCGAGCCGGCCGUGGGGAGCCGGCCCCGUCUCGGGCCGACUGGGGGAGGCCUGGCCGCCUUCGGGUGUCUCUCUGCCUGAAGGGGCCCACCGCCCGUGGGCCACGCUGCCAGCCCGUCGUGGGUGACAUCAGGGCCAACAUGGCAACAGUGCCGCGCCGGACGGGUCAUGGCCACCCCGCAGGGCGCACUGUGUCAGGCGUGCUCCGGGAUUCGGGGGUGGCAGGCUUUACUGUAGCCACGCCCCGUCACAUCGCCGUUAUGUGGAUGCAGACUUCGAGGGUACGAUCUUGACCGCUUGGUGGGAGCCGGCCUCUUGGAGUCGGCCUUCUCGUGGCUGGCUUCUUGGAGCCGGCCCUCCCGCGGCUUUCUUCAUGAGGGCUGAAGUCGGGCCGCCUUCCGAUAGUCGGCAUGGGAGACAGCCGGCAAGGGGAAGGCGGCCCCAUGUCUUGGAUUCUUGAGGGCCGGAUCGGCUCAUAAUUUUUUCAGAAGGGACAGGGGGAGCCGGCUAGGCUACCCGUGGUCAUUUACUCUGACACGAGGUGUUCGGCAUCGGGCAGCGGGGGGACUAGGACGCCCCCGGUGCUGAGCCUCCAUCGCCCCGGCGCACGUAUGUUAAGGGGCGCCGGGUAGUUUGCCUCGUGGAGGAGGUGGGCUUCCCACUCGUGCAGAGAGCGACCGCUGAAGCCAUUAGCUGUCGCCUGGAAACCGUUCACCCAUCAGCUGGGCGUGCACGCGGUGGCUAGACGGGGAGUGAGAAAAAAAGAGGACGUCCGCGGCGAGAGAGGGGGGCUGCGGGCGGGUGCAUCCACCGACGAGGGAGNNNNNNNNNNNNNNNNNNNNNNNNNNNNNNNNNNNNNNNNNNNNNNNNNNNNNNNNNNNNNNNNNNNNNNNNNNNNNNNNNNNNNNNNNNNNNNNNNNNNNNNNNNNNNNNNNNNNNNNNNNNNNNNNNNNNNNNNNNNNNNNNNNNNNNNNNNNNNNNNNNNNNNNNNNNNNNNNNNNNNNNNNNNNNNNNNNNNNNNNNNNNNNGGGAGGGGCGCACCACGACACUGCGCCGCCCAUGAGGAAUCAAUGGAAGGCUGAACGGUGGCAGCCUUGGCACUGAUUCCCCGUGGGAAACCGGGGCGAUGAGGACGACGAGGCGCGGGGGUCACUGACUCGACGGGCCUGCUAUUAUUUUGCGCAAAAAACGAUUGCCCCAGCGCCCGCCAGCGUGCCGGGUUCGGCCUAGGUCCGCCGGCGCCAGUUUCAGGCCUAACCGGCAAAAAUUGGGCUCCUGGGGGCAUAACUGGGCCGUUUUUCAGCGCCGAUGCUAAAAAUGGCCUUGGGGGCCUGUUGGGGGCGCGGUUGGAGAUGCUCUAAGCGCAUCUGGAACAAUGACUGAUGUGGAGCAUCCUACGUCUCCUCAAAUGCCAAGUGGACCAUUGGCAUGAGCACGUCCAAGAGCUCUCCAGACCGAGGUGACAUCUCUCCUUAGUGACAUUCUGUAUGACCCACAUGAGACAUGACUACUACCUAAAUUCGGAAUACUAUAUGUGCUUAGGUACCAAGAAGACCCUCUCGGAGAUGCCCGUGAUGAUGGAUAAGUCCCCAAGUACAUGGAUGAAGGAGCAUGACGAGAGGAGCCGGAGAAAGGCCACAAUGAAGGAAAUAUGCCCUAGAGGCAAUAAUAAAGUUGUUAUUUCAUAUUUCCUUAUCCAUGAUACAUGUUUAUUAUUCAUGCUAGAAUUGUAUUGGUCGGAAACCUAAAUACAUGUGUGAAUACAUAGACAAACACGGUGUCCCUAGUGAGCCUCUACUUGACUAGCUCGUUGAUCAAAGAUGGUUAAGGUUUCCUAACCAUGGACAUGAGUUGUUAUUUGAUAACGGGAUCAUAUCAUUAGGAGAAUGAUGUGAUGGACAAGACCCAUCUAUUAGCUUAGCAUAUUGAUCGUUCAGUUUUAUUGCUAUUGCUUUCUUCAUGUCAAAUACAUAUUCCUUCGACUAUGAGAUUAUGCAACUCCCGGAUACUGGAGGAAUGCCUUGUGUGCUAUCAAACGUCACAACGUAACUAGGUGAUUAUAAAGAUGCUCUAUAGGUAUCUCUGAAGGUGUUUGUAGAGUUGGCAUAGAUCAAGAUUAGGAUUUGUCACUCCGAGCAUCGUAGAGGUAUCUCUAGGGCCUCUCGGUAAUACACAUCAUAAGAAGCCUUGCAAGAAAAGUGACUAAUGAGUUAGUUGCACGAUGAUGUAUUACGAAACGAUUAAAGAGACUUGCCGGUAACAAGAUUGAACUAGGUAAGAAGAUACCGAUGAUGAUCUCGGGCAAAUAACAUACCGAUGGACAAAGGGAAUUACAUAUGUUGUCAUAACGGUUAGACCGAUAAAGAUCUUUGUAGAAUAUGUAGGAGCCAAUAUGAGCAUCUAGGUUUCGCUAUUGGUUAUUGACCGGAGAGGUGUCUCGGUCAUGUCUACAUAGUUCUCGAAUCCGUAGGGUCCGCACGCUUAACGUUCAUUGACGAUACAAUGUUAAAUGAGUUAUAUGAUUUGGUGACCGAAUGUUGUUUAGAGUCCCAGAUAUGAUCAUAGACAUGACGAGGAGUCUCAAAAUGGUCGAGAGGUAAAGAUUGAUAUAUAUGAUGAUAGUAUUCGGACACCGGAAGUGUUCCAGAGUAUAUAGGGUAUUUAUCGGAGUACCGAAGGGGUUACCGGAACCCCCGAGGGGAAUAUAUGGGCCAUAUGGGCCAUGAGAGGGGAGCACACCGGCCCACAAGGGGUGGCACGCCCCCUUAUGGCAGGAGGCCGAAUUGGGAGAAGGAAAAAGGGGGUUCGCCCCCCCUUUCCUUUCUCUCUUCCCCCUUCCCUUUCUUCUCCGGUGAAAUAAGGAAGGGGGCGCCACUUGGGGAAACCCCAAGUAGGAUUCAGAUCCUACUUGGGGCGUGCCCUGGCUGCCUCCCCUCUCCCUCCCACCUAUAUAUAUGUGGGGGGCGCCCCUAGCACACCCAAGACAAUUGCCUAGCCGUGUGCGGUGCCCCCUCCACCGUUUACUCCCACGGUCAUAUCUUCGUAGUGCUUAGGCGAAGCCAUGUGCGGAUCACUUCACCAUCACCGUCACCAUGCUGUCGUGCUGAAGGAACUCAUCUACUACCUCGACAUCUUGCUAGAUCAAGAAGGCGAGGGACGCCAUCGAGCUGAACGUGUGCAGAACUCGGAGGUGCCGUACGUUCGGUACUUGAUUGGUCGGAGCUAGAAGAAGUUCGACUACAUCAAUCGCAUUGUCAAACGCUUCCUCUUUCAGUCUACGAGGGUACGUAGACACUCUCCCCCCUCGUUGGUAUGCAUCUCCAUGGAUAGAUCAUUGCGUGUGUGUAGAAUUUUUUUCCAUGCAACGAUUCCCACAGUGGCAUCAUGAGCCAGGUCUAUGCGUAGAUGAUAUGCACGAGUAGAACACAAAGAGUUGUGGGUGGUGAUAGUCAUACUGCUUACCACCGAUGUCUUAUUUUGAUUCGGCAGUGUUGUUGGAUGAAGCGGCCCGGACCAACAUUACAUGUCCACGCACAUGAGACCAGUUCCACCGACAGACAUGCAACUAGUUUUGCAUAAAUGUGGCUGGCGGGUGUCUGUUUCUCCUACUUUAGUUGAAUCGGAUUUGACUGCAACCGGUCCUUGAAGAAGGUUAAAACAACAAACUUGACGAAACACCGUUGUGGUUUGAUGCGUAGGUAAGAAUGGUUCUUGCUAGAAGCCCGUAGCAGCCAGGUAAAACUUGCAGCAACAAAGUAGACGACAUCUAACUUGUUUUUGCAGGUCAUGUUGUGAUGUGAUAUAGAUACAUCUCCAAUGUAUCUAUAAUUUUUUAUUGUUCCAUGCUGUUAUAUUAUCAUUCCUGGAUGUUUUAUAAUCAUUUUUUGGGACUAACCUAUUAACAUAGUGCCAAGUGCCAAUUGCUAUUUUUGCAUGUUUUUUACAUCGCAGGAAAUCAAUAUCAAACGGAGUCCAAACACCGGGAAACAUUUUGGAGAUCUUUUAUGGACCAGAACACUGAGGAUGUGCCAGAGCAGCACCUGGGGGGGUGCCCCGAGGGGGGCACAACCCACCAGGGCGCGCCCAGGUGGGUUGUGCCCACCUCGGUGGCCUCCCGCACCCCCUCUUUACCCUAUAAAUUUUAGAAACCCUCGGGGUUAACCCGGAUCAGAAGUUCUGCCGCCGCAAGGCUCUGUAGCCAUCAAAAACCAAUCUAGACCCCGUUCCAGCACCCUGUCGGAGGGGGGAAUCAUCUCCGGUGGCCAUCUUCAUCAUCCCGGCGACCACCAGAUGAGGAGGGAGUAGUCCACCCUCGGGGCUGAGGGUUUGUACUAGUAGCUAUGUGUUUAAUCUCUCUCUCUCUCUCUCUCUCUCUCUCGUGUUCUUGAGAUGUCACGAUCUUGAUGUAUCGCGGGCUUUGUUAAUAUAGUAGGAUCAUAUGGUGUUUCCCCCUCUCUAUCUUGUUGUGAUGAAUUGAGUUUUUCCCUUUGAGAUUUCGUUGUUAUUGGAUUGAAUACUUUUAUGGAUUUGAGAGCACUCGAUAUAUGUCUUGCAUAUGAAUACUCGUGGUGACAAUGGGGUAUAUAUUGAUUCACUUGAUAUGUGUUUUGGUAUUCAACUUGCGGAUUCCCGCGGUGACAUUGGGGUAAUCUAUGCAUAGGGGUUGGUGCACGUUCUCGUCUUUUGUUUCUCCGAUAGAAAUCUUGGGGCACUCUUUGAGGUUCUUUGUGUUGGAUUGAGCAUUAUGAAUCUGAAAUUAUUUGGUGUUAUUUUAGUACGAACUCUUGGAUAGAUCGAUCAGAAAGAUAGCUUUGAGGUGGUUUUGUACCCUACAAACAAUUUCGUCUUAUGUUCUCCAGGAACUUCGGAGUGAUUCUUCAUUGCACGUUGAGGGACGGUUAUAUGAUCCAGUUAUAUUAGCACCGUUGAGAGAUUGCACUAGCGAAAGUACGGACCCUAGGCCUCAUUUUCAAGCAUUGCAAUACCGUUUUUGUGCACGUUUACUAUUUGCUACCUUGCUGUUUUUAUUUAUUCAGAUUAUAAAAAUAUAUUUCUAGCAUCCAUAUUACACUUUUAUCACCAUCUCUUCGCCGAACUAGUGCACCUAUACAAUUUGCCAUUGUAUUGGGUGUGUUGGGGACACAAGAGAUUUCUUGUAUUUGGUUGCAGGGUUGUUUGAGAGAGACCAUCUUCAUCCUGCACCUCUCAUGGAUUGAUAAACCUUAGGUCAUCCACUUGAGGGGAAAUUUCUACCGUCCUACAAAACUCUGCGCUUGGAGGCCCAACACGUGUCUACAAGAAUAAAGUUGCAUAGUAGACAUCAAGCUCUUUUCUGGAGCCGUUGCCGGGGAGGUGAGUGCAUGAAGGUAUAUCUUUAGACCAUGCAAUCGAAUCUUUUAGUUUCUUGUUUAUAUCACUAGUUUGGUUUAUAAAAAAAUGGAAUUGAGGUUGCAUCAUAUUAUUCAUCUUUAUAAUGUCUUUCGUGAAAAUGAUGGAAAGGAAAAUUGUGCUCAAUUGAUAUAAGAAUAAUUCAAUAGAAUGUUUGGUAUAAAAUGAUGAGCAUGAUUGCAAUGUGUUAGUAUGAAUUCUUUGAAUAUCUAUGAUGCUAAUGAUAUGCAAAGCCGUAAGCUUGGGGAUGCUAUGUUUGAUGAAGAUGAUAUUUUUACUCCCCCAAGAUUUGAUGUGCAAAUUUGUUAUAAUGAUUGCAUGCCUCCUAUUUAUGAUGAUUAUAAUGAUGAAAGUGGAUUUGGAGAGGUCAUUACUUUAUUUAGUGAUGAAUCCACCAUUUUGAAUGAGGCUUCAAUUGACUAUGAUAACAAAGUUGCUAUCUAUGAUGAUUAUGGUGAUGACAUGUAUGCUAUAAAGAAUAAUGAUAACCAUGAAACUUGUCAUCAUGAUUUUAAUUUUCACUCUCAAGGUAGUUAUUUUGUUGAGUUUGCUCCCACUACUAUCGAUGAGAAGAAAUUUGCUUAUGUGGUGAGUAAUAAGUUUUCUAUGCUUUUGUGUCAUGAAAAGAAUGCUUUAUGUGAUGGUUAUAUUGUUUAAUUUCUUCAUGAUUCUACUAAAAAUUAUUAUGAGGGGGGAACUUAUGCUUGUAGGAAUUGCAAUAAUAUCAAGUUUCCUCUCUAUGUGUGGAAAGUUUUGAAGUUAUGCUUGUUUUGCCUUUCUAUGCUAGUUGAUUCUGGUUCCCAUAAGUUGUUUGCUCAAAAAAUCCCUAUGCAUAGGAACAUAGUUAGGCUUAAAUGUGCUUGCCAUGUGUUUCAUGAUGCUCUUGUUAUAUUUCAAUUCUUAUCUUUUAUGCGAGCAUCAUUGAAAUAAUCAUGCCUAGCUAAAAGGCAUUAAAAAAAAGCGCUUGUUGGGAGACAACCCAACACUUUUACCUACUGUUUUUGUAUGUUCACAUGAUUAGGCUACUGUAGUAAUCAUGUUUUAUUGCUUUAGGUUCAAUAAAGUGCCAAGUAAGACCUUUGGGAUGGCUUACGGUGAUAGUUGAUUUGAUCUUGCUGAAAAACAGAAACUUUGGCUCUCAGAAAAAAAAAUCUCAUUUUUAACAGAAGCGUGAUAAAAUUCUGAUUCUUUUUGAAGAAGAUUAAUAGAAAAUUUUCCCAGGUUUACUAUUUUGUAAGAAAUUUUGGAGUAGUAUAAAUAUGGUUGGAGUACAGAGUACUACAGACUGUUCUGUUUUUGACAGAUUCUGUUUUCAAUGCAUAGUUUGCUUGUUUUCUAAUUUCCAUGGCUUAUAUUGCUCAAUAUAAAUUGUCGGAAUGAUAUGCUACAGUAGGCAUUGUGUGAGAACAAUUAUGAAUCUUGUCUUUGACAGUAACAAAAGUGAAAUGGUUUGCUCUUUAUCAUACUAACCUAUCUCACAAAGUUUCGUUAAGUUUUGUGUGAUUGAAGUUUUCAAGUUUUGGGUGAGAUAUCCAUAUGAGGAGAAUAAGGAGUGACAAGACCCUAAGCUUAGCGAUUCCCAAGAGACCCCCAAGUUAAUAUCCAAUGAAUAUCCGAGCAAGUAAGCUUGGGGAUGCCCAAGAAGGCAUCCCCUCUUUCGUCUCCAACAUUAUCGGUAACCUCACUUGGAGCUAUGUUUUCGCUCGUCACAUGAUAUGAGUUUUGCUUGGAGUGUAAUUUUAUUUUAUUUGUAUUUGCUUUCUGUUGUUUAGUUUAAUAUUUUGCAUCUUUAUUUUCAAUAAAAAUAUCAAGUAUAGCCUUUGCCAUGCUUAUUUUGCAAGUCUACAUGUUGCUGUUUCAAAACAGAAAGUUUAUCGAUGUUGCAAAAAUUCCCUAGAAAAGUCAGUAUGUGAUAAAAUGUUGAAACUUUUGCAAAAUAAGAUCUGAUAAAUUUUCUACAGUGUGGUAAAUUUUCAUAAUCUUUGGAGUUUAAUAAGUAUUGAUACUCUUGCAUUCUUUACAGACUGUACUGUUUUGGCAGAUUGCUGUUAUGUUUGCAUUGUUUGCAUAUGUUUUGCUUGUUUAAUGAUUCUAUUUGAGGAUAGGAGUAUUAAAUAAGCAUAGGAAUUUAGUAUGAAAUGUUGAAUAAUAAUUUUAGUGAUUUUCUAUAGUAGAGAAUGAUAAGGUUUUUGCAUUGGUUUAUACUAAUUUAUCUCACGAGUUCUUGUUGAGUUUUGUGUGGAUGAAGCUUUUGAGAUUUAGGAAAACCGUGAUAUGGGAAGAAUUAAGGAGACACAAAAGCUCAAGCUUUGGGAUGCUCAAGGAAUCCCAAGAUAAUAUUUCAAGAACACUCAAGCAUCAAAUCUUGGGGAUGCCCUGGUAGGCAUCCCACCUUUCUUCUUCAACAAUUAUCGGUUAGUAUCGGUUGAGCCUAAGUUUUUGCUUCUUCACACGAUGUGUGCUAUUCUUAGAAUGCCAUUUUAUUUUUUUUGCUUGCUGUUUUAAUAAAAUACUUAGAUUUGAAAGUUUUUAAAUAAAAUAGAGUCCUCAAAUAGUUGCCAGGGAGGCUAGGUAAGCGACAUUCACAUCCCGUCAACGAAGCUCUUUGUAUAUGGAAUUGCACUAAUGCUUUACUUAUAUCUUUUUGAGCACGGUGUGCUUUAGUAUUUUUGAAGAAAUCCUCUCUUGCUUAACUUAAAUUAAUUUGAGAGAAGGAAAUAUUAUGCUCAUGAUCUUCACUUAUAUUUGUUUGAUCUUAUCAAAAGCAACACAUGAAAAUUAGUCCCAAAGUGAUAGAUAUACAAGAAGAUAUAAUAAAAACUUUCAUGAAGAUCAUUGGACAAAAUAAACUUGAUUCCUCGUAAUAGUUUUGAGAUAUGAUGAUGUGAUAUGUGAGUCAUGUUGAUGAUUAAUUAUGCUUUAGUAAGAAUAUUGGUGUUAAGGUUUGUGAUUUCCUAUGCAAGCACGAAAGUCAAUAGUUGUGUAAUGAAACUACAUCCUACUUGUGGUGCAUUAUUCGGUGUUAAUUAUGCUCAAUGCUCGCUUAUGAGAUUAUUCGUUUCUUGGUUGGUCGCUGCUCAAUCUUUUGCUAGCCUUCACUUUGCACUAAGUAUGAUCACUACUUGUGCAUCCAAAAUCCUUUAAACAAAUUUUGCCACAUGAGUCCACUAUACCUACCUAUAUGCGGUAUUCUUUUACCGUUGGAAGCAAAUUUGUAUGUGCCAUCUCUAAUUUCAAAAUAAAUUUCUCUUUUGUGUGCUCGUACCGCUCGCGAGGCAGUGAGGGGUGGCCAAUAUUUUCCAUGCUAGAUGUGUUAUUCUCACGAUGAGUGUUUAUUCACUUGUCAUUGCACGAGAGUAAGGCAGGGAUGCCCAGUCCUGAAAUGAAAAAUGAAUUUACUUUAUGUUGUCAAAUAAUAAAUUCCUUGGAAAGUGUUGGUAUGGAGGGCACCAGUGGAUAUGGUUAGCCAUGGAAAUUGAAAGUAUGGUGGAAAAAGGAACAAACUUUAUUUUCUGUUCGGGAACCGCCUAUGAUAUAUCUAGCAUGGAAAGUGUUGGGAGCUCUAAGUCAUUUUCGUUGGUGGGAAAACUAUGCCUCUCAAAAUGUUUUUAUCUCUCAAUUUUCGCUUUGGGCUCUGGCACCUCUACAAAUCACUACUUCCCUCUAUGAAGGGCCUUUCUUUUACUUUAUGCAAUUUUUAUUUUUAAUUUGAGUGUCCAUCUUCUCUUAUAAAGAACCAACUAGGGGGCACUAUGGUCGUACUUGAGCAUUGGGUGUAGCUAAUAUGCGAGUGUGUUUCAUGAAUGGAUCAAUGAUUGAGCAUGAUGGGCUAGGGAUAGCUUAUUUUCGCGUUGAUAUUUUGAAAGACAUGGUUGCUUGUUGAUAUGCCUGAGUAUUUAAGUUAUCAUGUCAAAACUAGACUAUAGCUUCGAACAAUAUAAAAGUCAAAAUGUCCAUGCUAUAAAGAAAAGAAUAUAGAUGACAUGUUAGGCAACAUUCCACAUCAAAAAUUCUAUUUUUUAUCAUUUACCUACUCAAGGACGAGCAUGAAUUAAGCUUGGGGAUGCUGAUACGUCUCCAACGUAUCUAUAAUUUGUUAUUGUUCCAUGCUGUUAUAUUAUCAUUCUUGGAUGUUUCAUAAUCAUUUUAUAUCUUUUUUGGGACUAACCUAUUGACAUAGUGCCAAGUGCUGUUUUUGCAUGUAUUUUACAUCGCAGGAAAUCAAUAUCAAACGGACUCCAAACGCCGUGAAACUUUUUAGAGAUUUUUUGUGGACCAGAACACCCAGGAUGGGCCAGAGCAGCACCAGGGGGGGUUGCCCCGAGGGGGGCACAACCCACCAGGGCACGCCUGGGGGCUGAGGCGCGCCCAGGUGGGUUAUGCCCACCUCGGUGGCCUCCUGCACCCACUCUUUACCCUAUAAAGUCCCAAAAUUCCAGAAACCCUCGGGGUUAACCUAGAUCAUAAGUUCCACCGCCGCAAGGCUCUAUAGCCACCGAAAACCAAUCUAGACCCCAUUCCGGCACCCUGCCGCAGGGGGGAAUCAUCUCCGGUGGCCAUCUUCAUCAUCCCGGCGGCCACCACGAUGAGGAGGGAGUAGUCCACCCUCGGGCUGAGGGUUCUUACUAGUAGCUAUGUGUUUAAUCUCUCUCUCUCUCGUCUUGAGAUGUCAUGAUCUUGAUGUAUCGUGGGCUUUGUUAAUAUAGUUGGAUCAUAUGGUGUUUUCCCCUCUCUAUCUUGUUGUGAUGAAUUGAGUUUUUCCCUUUGAGAUUUCGUUGCUAUCAGAUUGAAUACUUUUAUGGAUUUGAGAGCACUUGAUAUAUGUCUUGCAUAUGAAUACUUGUGCUGACAAUGGGGUAUAUAUUGAUUCACUUGAUAUGUGUUUUGGCAUUCAACUCGCGGAUUCCCGCGGUGACAUUGGGGUAAUCUAUGCAUAGGGGUUGGUGCAUGUUCUCAUCUUCUGUUUCUCCGGUAGAAAUCUUGGGGCACUCUUUGAGGUUCUUUGUGUUGGAUUGAGCAUUAUGAAUCUGAAAUUAUUUGCUGCUAUUUUAGUAUGAACUCUUGGAUAGAUCGAUCGGAAAGAAUAGCUUUGAGGUGGUUUUGUACCCUACAAACAAUUCCGUCUUAUGUUCUCUGCUAGAUAGGAACUUUGGAGUGAUUCUUCAUUGCACGUUGAGGGACGGUUAUAUGACCCAAUUAUAUUAGCACUGUUGAGAGAUUGCACUAGCGAAAGUACGGACCCUAGGCCUCAUUUUCAAGCAUUGCAAUACUAUUUUUGUGCCCGUUUACUAUUUGCUACUUGCUGUUUUUAUUUAUUCAGAUUAUAAAAAUAUAUGUCUACCAUCCAUAUUACACUUUUAUCACCAUCUCUUCGCCGAACUAGUGCACCUAUACAAUUUUCCAUUGUAUUGGGUGUGUUGGGGACACAAGAGAUUUCUUGUAUUUGGUUGCAGGGUCGUUUGAGAGAGACCAUAUUCAUCCUACACCUCUCACGGAUUGAUAAACCUUAGGUCAUCCACUUGAGGGAAAAUUUCUACCGUCCUACAUAACUCUGCACUUGGAGGCCCAACACAUGUCUAUAAGAAUAAAGUUGCAUAGUAGACAUCAGAUAUGGUCAAGGAAUGAUGUGAUAUACGUUAUUGUAUGAGAUGAUCAUGUUUUGUAAAAUUUAUCGGCAACUGACAUGAGCCUUAUGGUUGUCUCUUUAUUGUAUGAAAUGCAAACGCCAUAUAAUUGCUUUACUUUAUCACUAUGCAUUAGCGAUAGUUGUAGAAGCAAUAGUUGGUGAGACGACCAUGACGCAAUGAUGGAGAUCAUGGUGUCGAGCCGGUGACAAAGGAGAUCAUGACGAUGCUUUGGAGAUGGAGAUCGAAAGCACAAGAUGAUGAUGGCCAUAUAAUGUCACAUAUUUUGAUUGCAUGUGAUGUUUAUCUUUUGUACAUCUUAUUUUGCUUAGUACGGCAGUGGCAUUCUAAAAUGACCCUUUAACUAAAUUUCAAGGUAAAAGUGUUCUCCCUGAGUAUGCACCAUUGCUACAGUUCGUCGUGUUGAGACACCACGUGAUGAUCGGGUGUGAUAGACUCUACGUUCACAUACAACGGGUGCAAGACAAUUUUGCACAUGUGGAAUACUUAGGUUAAACUUGACGAGCCUAGCAUGUACAAACAUGGCCUCAGAACACUGGAGACCGAAAGGUCGUAAGUGAAUCAUAUAGUAGAUAUGAUCAACAUAGAGAUGUUCACCAUUAAUGACUACUCCAUCUCACGUGAUGAUUGGACAUGGUUUAGUUGAUUUGGAUCACAUAUCAUUUAGAUGACUUGAGGGAUGUCUAUCUAAGUGGGAGUUCUUAUGUAAUUUGAUUAAUUGAACUUAAUUUAUCAUGAACUUAGUCCUGAUAGUUUUUGCAUAUCUAUGUUAUAGAUCAAUGGCCCGUGCUAUUGUUCCCCUGUAUUUUAGUGCGUUCCUAGAGAAAGCUAAGUUGAAAGAUGAUGGUAGCAACUACAUGGACUGGGUUUGUAACUUGAGGAUUAUCCUCAUUGCUGCACAAAAGAAUUAUGUCCUUCAUGCACCGCUAGGUGAAAGGCCUGCUGCAGGAGCAGAUGCUGAUGAUUUGAACGUGUGGCAAGCUCGAUCUGAUGACUGCUCGAUAGUUCAGUGUGCCAUGCUUUACGGCUUACAAUCGGGACUUCAAAGACAUUUUGAAAGUGAUGGACCAUAUGAGAUGUUUCCAGGAGUUGAAGUUAAUAUUUCAAGCAAAUGCCCAAGUUGAGAGAUAUGAAGUCUUCAACAAGUUCUAUAGCUGCAAGAUGGAGGAGAACAGUUCUGUCAGUGAACACAUACUAAAAAUGUAUGGGUAUCAUAAUCGCUUGACUCAGCUAGGAGUUAAUCUUCCAGAUGAUAGUGUUAUUGAUAGAGUUCUUCAAUCAUUGCCACCAAGCUACAAAGGCUUCAUGAUGAACUAUAAUAUGCAAGGGAUGGAGAAGACAAUUCCCGAGCUCUUUGCAAUGCUCAAAGCUGCGGAGGCAGAAAUCAAGAAGGGGCAUCAAGCAUUGAUGGUUAACAAGACCACUAGUUUUAAGAAAAAGGGCAAGGGAAAGAAAGGGAACUUCAAGAAGAAUGGCAAGCAAGUUGCCACUCCCGGGAAGAAGCCCAAAGCUGGACCCAAGCCUGAAACUGAGUGCUUCUACUGCAAAGGGACUGGUCACUGGAAGCGAAACUGCCCCAAGUAUUUGGCGGAUAAGAAGGAUGGCAAAGUCAACAAAGGUAUAUUUGAUAUACAUGUUAUAGAUGUGUACCUUACUAAUGCUCGUAGUAGCGCCGGGUAUUUGAUACUGGUUCGGUUGCUCAUAUUUGUAACUCGAAACAUGAGCUAUGGAUUAAACGAAGAUUUGCUAAGGAUGAGGUGACAAUGCGCGUGGGGAAUGGUUCCAAGGUCGAUGUGAUUGCCGUCGGCACGCUACCUUGAUAAUCCCCAAGUGUAGGGAAUCAUCGUAGCAAUUCCCAAUGGUGGAAGUGAUAAGUAUGGAGUGUCGAACCCACAAGGAGCUAAAGGUAAGAUCAAUAUUCUCUCAAGUCCUAUCUGCCUCUGAUACGACUCUACGUACACCGAACGUUUGCUUCCAACUAGCAACGAGAAAUAAACUAUGUUGUGGGUAUGAAGUGGAUAACUUUGCAUGAUAUCGGAGAGCUAAAAUAUGAAAGUAGGUGUUGUUAUCAUAAAGUUAGAAUAUAUUACUAAACAUUAUAAAUAGCGAGUGUGGAAUAAUGGUGGAUCGGUGCGGAAUUGUCCUAGGCAAUUAUUAACAAGACCGAUAGUCGUCAUUGCAAUUUCAUAUGAGGGAGAGGCAUAAGCUAACAUACUUUCUCUUCUUGGAUCAUAUGCACUUAUGAUUGGAACUCUAGCAAGCAUCCGCAACUACUAAAGAUCAUUAAGGUAAAACCCAACCAUAGCAUUAAAGCAUCAAGUCCCCUUUAUCCCAUAUGCAACAAUCCCCUUACUCGGGUUUAUGCUUCUGUCACUCACGCAACCCACUAUAAGAGAAUCAUGAACGUAUUGCAACACCCUACAACGGGAAUCCCUCACGCUUGCGCGACACGGAGGGCACAAUAGGACAACACCAAAAUAAAACAUACAACUCGUACCAAUCUAGAUCAUCAAUCAACCCAAAGACAAAAGAUAUCUACUCAAAACAUCAUAGGAUGGCAACACAUCAUUUGAUCAUAACAUGUGGCAUAAAGCACCAUGUUCAAGUAGGGAUUAUAGCGGGGUGCGGGAGAGUGGACUGCGUAAAAGAGAUGACGAUGGUGAUGAUGAUGGUGAUGUUGAUGAAGACGAUCACCGCAACGAUGAUUCCCCUCUCGAUGGCACUCCGGUGCCACCAAGAGAGAGGAGGAGAGGUUCUUCCCCUUGUGCUUCCUCCUCCAUGGCCUCCCCCCUGGAUGGGGAGAGGUUCCCCCUCUGGUCCUUGGCCUUCAUGGUGAUGAUGGCCCCUCCGAGAUCCUCCUCCAUGCCCUCUGGUGAUGAUGGCCCCUCCGGCAGGGUGCUGGAGAGGGACUAGAUUGGUUUUCGGUGGCUACGGAGGCUUCUGGCGGUGGAACUCCCGAUCUAGGUUAAUUUUCGGAGGUUUCUAUAUUUAUAGGAGAAGUCAGCGUUGAUUUCACGUCAGGGGGCCCCACAGGAAGUCCACGAGCAGGGGGCGCACCCCAGGGGGAUGGGCGCGCCCCCCACCCUCGUGGGUCCCCCAUGACCCCCCUUCAGUGGAUUUUUGUUCCAGUAUUUUUCAUAUUUUCUAGAAAAAAUCUCCGUUGAUUUUCAUCGUAUUCCGAGAACUUUUAUUUCUGCACAAAAACAACACCACGGUAGUUCUGCUAAAAACAACGUCAGUCCGGGUUAGUUCUAAUCAAAUCAUACCAAAAUCAUAUAAAAAUAUUGUAAACAUGUCAUGAAUACUUCAUAAAUUAUAGAUACGUUGGAGACGUAUCAGCAUCCCCAAGCUUAAUUCCCGCUCGUCCUCGAGUAGGUAAAUGAUAAAAGAAAUAAUUUAUGAAGUGUGAAUGCAAGCAAGUGCACAAGUUUGAUCCAUGAUAGUUCCAAUCACUUUUUCUAGCAUCAUUAUAUAUCAUAACAGUAGCUUAUUUUCAUAAAAGUUUUCAUGAUCAAGUAACAAGCUAUUCACAUGUUAAAGUAUAGAUCAUAAACUUUCUUGAAACUAACAAACUAUAUUCUUAGUCAUCAAACAAUUGCAAUUCAUCUUAUUUUCAGGAAGGGUCUAUAUCAGAGCUUUGAUUUAGCAAACUCCACAUACUCAACUAACAUUUAAUCUUUCACAAUUGCCAACACUCACACGAUAUUUAUGGGUUCAAAGUUUUAAUCGGGCACAGAGAAAGAUAGGGGCUUAUAGAUUUGCCUCCCAACCUUUUACCUCAAGGGUAAUGUCAACAAUAAUAGUUCAUGAUAACUUACAUCCAAUUGGAUAUAUAUACAUCAGGAUCUUUCCAACACAAUGUGCUUGCCAAAGGAUAAAAUGUAAAAAGGAAAGGUGAAGAUCACCAUGACUCUUGCAUAAGGGUAGAAGAUAAAAGUAAAAGAUAGGCCCUUCGCAAAGGGAAGCAGAGGUUGUCAUGCGCUUUUAUGGUUGGAUGCACAAAAUCUUAAUGUAAAAGAACGUCACUUUAUAUUGCCACGUGUGAUAUGGACCUUUAUUAUGCAGUCCAUCGCUUUUAUUUCUUCCACAUCACAAGAUCGUAUAAAGCUUAUUUUCUCCACAUUAAUAGAUCAUACAUAUUUAGAGGGCAAUUUUUAUUGCAUGCACCGAUGACAACUUACUUGAAGGAUCUUACUCAAUCCAUAGGUAGGUAUGGUGGACUCUCAUGGCAAAACUGGUUUAAGGAAUGUUUGGAAGCACAAGUAGUAUCUCUACUUGGUGCAGAGAAUUUGGCUAGCAUGAGUGGGAAAAGCAAGCUCAACAUGUUGGAUGAUCCAAGACAAUAUACUUUAUUUCGGAUAUAAGAAAACAUAACCCAUUAUGUUGUCUUCCUUGUCCGACAUCAACCAUUUAGCAUGUCAUAUUUUAAUGAGUGCUCACAAUUACAAAAGAUGUCCAAGAUAGUAUAUUUAUAUGUGAAAUCUCUCUUCCUUCAAUAUUCUUUCAUGAAUUGUUCAAGUGACCAAUUCAACGUUUGCUAACUUUCAAUAAGUUUACUACCUAUACUUAUUCUGUGUGAAGUCAUUACUCCCCAUGGUAUAAGCAUAUGAAACAUAUAUAGAUUCAGAUUUAUGAUAUUCAAUUCAUUCAACCAUUUACUCAUAGGAUAUAUGUGAAGCACAUGAGUAAAUGACAAACUACUCCAAAAAGAUAUAAGUGAAGGACAUUGAGUAGUCAAAUAAUUAACUAGCCAUGGGAGGGUUCUUUUUCAUUUAAGAUUUCAGAUCCAAUGAUUUUAUUCAAACUGCAAGUAAAAUUGAAAAUACACUCCAAGAAAAACACAUAUCAUGUGACGAAUAAAAAUAUAGCUCCGAGUAAGGUAUACCGAUAGUUUUUGAAGACGAAAGAGGGGAUGCCUUUCCGAGACAUCCCCAAGCUUAGGCGCUUGAGUCUUCCUUGAAUAUUACCUUGGGGUUCCUUGGGAAUCCCCAAUCUUAGGGUCUUUCCACUCCUUAGUCUCCUCAAAUCGAUAUCUCACCCAAAGCUUGAAAACUUCAAUCAUACAAAACUUAACGGAACUUUGUGAGAUAGGUUAGUAUGAUAAAGAGUAAACCAUUCACUUUGGUACUGUCAAAGACAAGGCUCAUAAUUGUUCUCACACAAUGCCUACUGUACCAUAUCAUCUCUACAAUUUAUAUUGAGAAAUAUAAGCCAUAGGAACUAGAAAACAAGCAAACUAUGCAGUGAGAACAGAAUCUGUCAGAAACAGAACUGUCUGUAAUGGUCUGAACACUAACCAUACUUCUGCAACUAAAACAAUUAUUAAAUAAAUUGGUGGAAGUGAGGAAUUUUCUAUUAAUCUUCUGCAAAAAGAAUCAGCACCAAAGCACUCUUCUGUAAAAAAAUGGCAGCUAAUCUCGUGAGCGCAAAGUUUCUGUUUUUUACAGCAAGAUCACAUUAACUUUCACCCAAGUCUUCCAAAGGUCUUACUUGGCACUUUAUUGAAACAAAAGCUAUAAUACAUGCUUAAUAUAGUAGCUUAUCAUGAGAACACACAAAAAUAGUAAAGGUAAAUAUUGGGUUGUCUCCCAACAAGCACUUUUAUUUAAUGCCUUUUAGCUAGGCAUGAUGAUUUCAAUGAUGCUCACAUAAAAGAUAAGAAUUGAAACAUAAAGAGAGCAUCAUGAAGAAUAUGACUAGCAUAUUUAAAUCUAACCCACUUCCUAUGCCUAGGGAUUUUGUGAGCACAUAAUUUAUAGGAACAAGAAUCAACUAGCAUAGGAAGGCAAAACAAGUAUAACUUCAAAACUUUAAGCACAUAGAGAGGAAAAUUGAUAUUAUUACAACUCCUACAAGCAUAUAUUCCUCCCUCAUAAUAAUUUUUAGUAGCAUCAUGAAUGAAUUCAACAACAUAACCAUCACAUAAAGCAUUCUUUUCAUGAUCUACAAGCAUAGAAAUUCUCUCCAAAUAAGCAAAAUUCUUCUCAUUCGGAAUAGCGGGAUCACUAGUUCCUAAAGUUGACACUCUUCCAAAUCCACUUUAGAUGAUAGUAUUAUUCAUACUCCAAAAGAUAUAAGUGAAGUUCAUGGAGCAUUCUACAAUUAAUAUAAACUAACCAAUAUCCAAGCUCAAAAUGUAUAAGUGAAGCACAUGAAGCAUUCUAUAAAUUGAUGAAGGGACAUUCUCAUACUAGCAUGGUUCUUAAAGAAAAAUAAAAACACAGAGGACACAAAUCAUGUGAACAAAACAAAAACUGAGGUAUACCGAUAUUUGUUGAAGAAGAAAGAUGGGAUGCCAACUGGGGCAUCCCCAAGCUUAGAUGCUUGAGUAUCCUCUGAAAUAUUUACUUGGGGUGCCUUGGGCAUCCCCAAUCUUGAACUCUUGCCUCUCUUUAUUCUUCUCAUAUUGAUAGCUCCUCGAUCUUCGAACACUUCAUCCACACAAAACUUUAACAAAAACUUUGUGAGACCCAUUAGUAUAAUAAAGCAAAUCACUACCUUUAGGUACUGUUUCAAACUCAUUCCAAUUUCAUAUUAUAACUAUAUCUACUGUAUUCCAACUUCUCUAUGGUUCAUACCCUCCGAUACUAGCCAUAGAUGCAUCAAAAUAAGCAAACAACACACGAAAAACAGAAUCUGUCUAAAACAAGACAGUCUGUAGUAAUAUGGAGGUUUAGUAAACUUCUAUAACUCCAAAGAUUAUGAAAUAAAUUUGAAAAUUUGAAAAUUUUGUAUAGAAGUAAUGUGCAAAAAGUUUCAUACCCAUUUGAUGUUCCAUUAAAAAAUGUAAAAUCACGCGCUACAGCCAAAGUUUCUAUUUUUGUUCUACACAUAGUAAACAAGCAAUCUAAUCAUCCUAAAACCAAAGCUUGGCACAUUAUUUUUAUAAUACAAUGGAUAUAUAUAAGUUGAUAAUUAUUUAGAGAGAAACUUCCACGAAAAAUUCUACAUUGUUUCCAUGAGCAUGAACACAAGUGCUCAAGGUCGACCCUCACUUCUUCAAUGCAUAACUUUCCAAUCACUUCUCUUUUUGAAAAACUUUUUAGGCAUGAGAGGCAAGUAUUUUUUUUGGUAUUUUCAUUAUUUUCAUUAUUUUGUAUGUUUCAACCACAACUAAACAUAAACAAAAAGGAAAAACAAAAUCUACUUAGUGAAGAAAGCAAACAAGCAUACACGAGAAUAUCAACCCCACGCUAUUGCUCCCCGGCAACGGCGCCAGAAAAGAGCUUGAUAAUCCCCAAGUGCAGGGAAUCAUUGUAGAAAUUCCCAAUGGUGGAAGUGAUAAGUAUGGACUGUCGAACCCACAAGGAGCUAAAGGUAAGAUCAAUAUUCUCUCAAGUCCUAUCUGCCACUGAUACGACUCUAUGUACACCGAACGUUUGCUUCCAACUAGCAACAAGAAAUAAAACUAUGUUGUGGGUAUGAAGUGGAUACCUUUGCAUGAUAUCGGAGAGCUAAAAUAUGAAAGCAGGUGCUGUUAUCAUAAAUUUAGAAUAUAUUACUAAAUAUUAUAAAUAGCUAGUGUGGAAUAAUGGUGGAUCGGUGUGCGGAAUUGUCCUAGGCAAUUGUUAACAAGACCGAUAGUUGUCAUUGCAAUUUCAUAUGAGGGAGAGGCAUAAGCUAACAUACUUUCUCUUCUUGGAUCAUAUGCACUUAUGAUUGGAAGUCUAGCAAGCAUCCGCAACUACUAAAGAUCAUUAAGGUAAAACCCUGAUACGUCUCUAACGUAUCUAUAAUUUUUGAUUGUUCCAUGCUAUUAUAUUAUCAACCUUGGAUGUUUUAUAUGCAUUUAUAUGCUAUUUUAUAUGAUUUUUGGGACUAACCUAUUAACCUAGAGCCCAGUGCCAGUUUCUAUUUUUUCCUUGUUUUAGAGUAUCAUAGAAAAGGAAAAUCAAACGGAGUCCAAUUGACCUGAAACUUCACGGAACUUAUUUUUGGACCAGAAGAAGCCCACGGAGUAUCGGAGUUGGACUAGGAGAGUCCCGGGCUGCCCACGAGGGUGGGGGGCACGCCCACCCCCCUUGCUCGCGCCCCCUGCCUCGUGGACAGCCCGGAGGUCCACCGACGUACUUCUUCCUCCCAUAUAUACCCAUAUACCCUAAAAACUUCGGGGAGCACAAUAGAUCGGGAGUUCCUUCACCAGAAGCCUCCGUAGCCACCGAAAACCAAUCUAGAUCCAUUCUGGCACCCUGUCGGAGGGGGAAAUCCCUCUCCGGUGGCCAUCUUCAUCAUCCCGGUGCUCUCCAUGAUGAGGAGGGAGUAGUUCUCCCUCGGGGCUGAGGGUAUGUACAAGUAGCUAUGUGUUUGAUCUCUCUCUCUCUCUCAUGUUCUUGAGGUGGUACGAUCUUGAUGUAUGGCGAGCUUGGCUAUUAUAGUUGGAUCUUAUGAUGUUUCUCCCCCUCUACUCUCUUGUAAUGGAUUGAGUUUUCCCUUUGAAGUUAUCUUAUCGGAUUGAGUCUUUAAGGAUUUGAGAACACUUGAUGUAUGUCUUGCAUGGGAUACCCGUGGUGACAAUGGGGUAUUCUAUUGAUCCACUUGAUGUAUAUUUUGGUGAUCAACUUGCGGGUUCCGCCCAUGAACCUAUGCAUAGGGGUUGGCACACAUUUUCGUCUUGACUCUCCGGUAGAAACUUUGGGGUACUCUUUGAGGUUCUAUGUGUUGGUUGAAUAGAUAAAUCUAAGACUGUGUGAUGCAUAUCGUAUAAUCAUACCCACAAAUACUUGAGGUGACAUUGGAGUAUCUAGGUGACAUUAGGGUUUUGGUUUAUUUGUGUCUUAAGGUGUUAUUCUAGUACAAACUCUAGGGCUGUUUGUGACCCUUAUAGGAAUAGCCCAACAGAUUGAUUGGAAAGAAUAACUUUGAGGUGGUUUCAUACCCUACCAUAAUCUCUUCGUUUGUUCUCCGCUAUUAGUGACUUUGGAGUGACUCUUUGUUGCAUGUUGAGGGAUAGUUAUAUGAUCCAAUUAUGUUAUUAUUGUUGAGAGAACUUGCACUAGUGAAAGUAUGAACCCUAGGCCUUGUUUCCUAGCAUUGUAAUACCGCUUGUGCUCACUUUUAUCAUUAUUUACCUUGCUGUUUUUAUAUUUUCAGAUUACAAAAACCUUUAUCUACUAUCCAUAUACCACUUGUAUCACCAUCUCUUCACUGAACUAGUGCACCUAUACAAUUUACCAUUGUAUUGUGUGUGUUGGGGACACAAGAGACUCUUUGUUAUUUGGUUGCAGGGUUGCUUGAGAGAGACCAUCUUCAUCCUACGCCUCCUACGAAUUGAUAAACCUUAGGUCAUCCACUUGAGGGAAAUUUGCUACUGUCCUACAAACCUCUGCACUUGGAGGCCCAACAACGUCUACAAGAAGAAGGUUGUCUAGUAGACAUCAAGCUCUUUUCUGGCGCCGUUGCCUGGGAGGUUAGCGCUUGAAGGUAUAUCUUUAGAUCUUGCAAUCAAAUCUUUUUGUUUCUUGUUUUAGCACUAGUUUAGUUUAUAAAAUAAAACUACAAAUAAAAAAAAUAAAAAAUAUGGAAUUGAGUUUGCCUCAUAUGUUUCGUCUUUUUAAUAUCUUUCGUGAGUAUGAUGGAAAGUAAAAUUGUGCCAAAGUGUUAGAAGAAUAAUGCAUUAAAAUGUUUGGCACUAAAUCUUUGAAUGAUGAGCAUGAUUGCAAUGUUGUUAGUAUGAACUCCUUGAAUAUGCAUAGUAUUAAUGAUGAUUGCACUAGUUAUGAUGAAAAUGUCUCCUAUAAACAUGUCAAUUUUUGUGGAGUGCAUUGGGUUUGCAAGUACACACCAAAUAGGUAAGAUAGAUAUUGCAAGAGGCAUAAGUACUUAGAAACUAAAUUGUUGCAAGAAAGGCUAGAUGUUUGUGCUGAAAGAUUCAAUAUUUAUCGCCAUCCUUGUGAACUUUGCAAUGAACAUGGUCAUUUAAAGCUCCAAUGCUAUUUGUUUCAUGAUCAAGUCAUGUACAAAAAUUGUGAUAACUUGAUUACCCUUGAGCAUCAUAAAGAGCUUAGUCUUCUUUUGGGUUAUGAAGAAAUGAAACAUAUAACUGAGGGUAUUCCAAAAUUUAAUCUCGAUAAAUUUCUUGAUUUUGAUCUAGAGGAAAUUUAUAUGUAUUGUGCGGUGAAUUGCAUUGAAAACCCUUAUAUUGCCAAUUACAUAAAGAAAAGAAAACAAAUAUAGAAUGAAGAGAAUACUAAUGAAAGGGAAGAGACUUCUUGAUAUCCUCCUAUUAUUUCUUAUGAUGAAUCAGGUAACAAGGAGAAGCCUUCUAUUCAACCAAUCUCAUUAAUAAGGAGCUCCAAUAAGAAGAUUAAACCCACACAUGAUGUGAAGAAGAAAAAGAAAAGAAGGAGAAGCAAAGGUAGAAAGGUAUCUCUCCCAAAUAAUGUUUCUCCUAUUACUCAUUGUGAUGAUGAUAAUUGCUAUACUAUCGGUGCUAUCCAUCUAUUGAUGAUGAGAGUGAUUAUGCUUAUGAUAUGAAAAGGCCCAAGCUUGGGGAUGCUAUGUUUGAUGAAGAUGAUGUUUUUGAGAAUAUAUUUGCUGAAAUUAAUGUUUUUCCCAAGCUUGGGGGUGCUACGUUUAAUGAAGAUGAUAUUUUUAGUCUCCCAAGUUUUGAUAUGCAAAUUUAUAUUGUGAUAGCAUGCCUCCUACUUAUGAUGAUUAUAUUGAUGAAAUUGGGUUUGGAAGAGUGUCAACUUUAGGAAGUAAUGAUCCCACUAUUUUGGAGGAUGUUGAAUCUUAUUAUGAUAAAUAUGAAAGUGGAUUUGGAGAGGUCAUGACUUUAUUUAGUGAUGAUUCCACUAUAUUGGAAGAGGUUUCAAUCGAUUGUGAUAAGAACAAAGUUGCUACUUAUGAUAAUUAUUGUGAUGAUACAUAUGCUAUAAAAAGUAGUGAUGAUUAUAUUUAUAAAAUUUGUCAUGAUUAUGAUUACCCUUUUUCUGAAUAUUACUCUUUUAAUGUGGAAACAAUUUAUAGUAUUCGAGUCUCUUAUGAUACUCCCACUAUUCCGAUUGAGAAGAAUUUUGCUUAUGUAGAGAGUAGUAAAUUUUCUAUGCUUGUAGAUCAUGAAAAGAAUGAUUUAGGUGCUGGUUAUAUUUUUGAAUUCAUUCAUGAUGAUACUGAAAAUUAUUAUGAGGGAGGAACAUAUGCUUGUAGGAAUUGCAAUAAUAUCAAGUUUCCUCUCUAUGUGUUUAAAGUUUUGAAGUUAUGCUUGUUUUGCCCUCCUAUGCUAGUUGAUUAUUGUUCCCAUAAGUUGUUUGCUCAGAAAAUUCCUAUGCAUAGGAAGAGGGUUAGGCUUAAAUGUGCUAGUCAUAUUCUUCAUGAUACUCUCUUUAUGUUUCAAUUCUUAUCCUUUAUGUGAGCAUCGUUGAAAUCAUCAUGCCUAGCUAGGGGCGUUAAAUGAUAGCGCUUGUUGGGAGGCAACCCAACUUUAUUUUUGUUCCUUGCUUUUUGCUCCUGUUUAUUAAUAAAUAAUUUAUAUAGCCUAUGUUUAGAUGUGGUUUUAUGCUUUUAAUUAGUGUUUGUGCCAAGUAGAACCUUUGGGAAGACUUGGGGAAAGUCUUGUUGAUCUUGCUGUAAAAAACAGAAACUUCAGCGCUCACAAGAAUUGCUGCCAUUUUUUACUGGAUAGAUUUAGUUAAUUAAUUUUGCAGAUGAUUAAUAGAUAAUUUACUCACGUCCAUAAAUUUAUUUUAGAAUUUUUGGGGUUCCAGAAGUUUGCUUUAGUUACAGAUUACUACAGACUAUUCUGUUUUUGACAGAUUCUGUUUUUCGUGUGUUGUUUGCUUAUUUUAAUGAAUCUAUGGCUAGUAAAAGAGUUUAUAAACAAUAGAGAAGUUGUAAUACAGUAGGUUUAACACCAAUAUAAAUAAAGAAUGAGUUCACAACAGUACCUAAGUGGUGAUUUAUAUUCUUAUACUAACGGAGCUUACAAGUUUUCUGUUAAGUUUUGUGUUGUGAAGUUUUCAAGUUUUGGGUAAAGAUUCGAUGGACUAUGGAAUAAGAAGUGGCAAGAGCCUAAGCUUGGGGAUGUCCAAGGCAACCCAAGGUAAUAUUAAAGGACAACCAAGAGACUAAGCUUGGGGAUGCCCCGGAAGGCAUCCCCUCUUUCGUCUUCAUUCAUCGGUAACUUUACUUGGAGCUAUAUUUUUAUUCACCACAUGAUAUGUGUUUUGCUUGGAGCAUCAAUUUAUUUUAUUUUGUUUUACUUUCUGUUUGAAUAAAGUAUCAAGAUCUGAAAUUCUUAAAUGUUAGAGAGUCUUCACAUAGUUGCAUAAUUAUUCGACUACUCAUUGAGCUUGACUUAUAUCUUUUGUAGUAGUUUGUUAUUUGCUCUAGUGCUUCACUUAUAUCUUUUUAGAGCACAGUGGUGGUUUUAUUUUAUAGAAAUAGAUGAACUCUCAUGCUUCACUUAUAUUAUUUUGAGAGUCCUAAACAACAUGGUAAUUUUCUUUGGUUAUGAAUUUAGUCCUAAUAUGAUGGGCAUCCAAGAGGGAUAUAAUAAAAACUUUCAUAUAAAGUGCAUUGAAUACUAAGAGAAGUUUGAUACUUGAUAAUUUUUUGAGAUAUGAAAAUGGUGAUAUUAGAGUCAUGGUAGUUGAGUGGUUGUGAAUUUGAGAAAUACUUGUGUUAAAGUUUGUGAUUCCCGUAGCAUGCACGUAUGGUGAACCGUUAUGUGAUGAAGUCGGAUCAUGAUUUAUUUAUUGAUUGUCUUCCUUAUGAGUGGCGGUCGGGGACGAGCGAUGGUCUUUUCCUACCAAUAUAUCCCCCUAGGAGCAUGCACGUAGUACUUUGUUUCGAUAACUAAUAGAUUUUUGCAAUAAGUAUGUGAGUUCUUUAUGACUAAUGUUGAGUCCAUGGAUUAUACGCACUCUCACCCUUGCACCAUUGCUAGCCUCUCUAGUACCGCGCAACUUUCGCUGGUACCAUAAACCCACCAUAUACCUUCCUCAAAACAGCCACCAUACCUACCUAUUAUGGCAUUUCCCUAGCCAUUUUGAGAUAUAUUGCCAUGCAACUUUCCACCGUUCCGUUAUUAUGACAUGCUUCAUCAUUGUCAUAUUGAUUUGCAUGAUCAUGUAGUUGACAUCGUAUUUGUGGCAAAGCCACCAUUCAUAAUUUUUUCAUACAUGUCACUCAUGAGUCAUUGCACAUCCCGGUACACCGCCGGAGGCAUUCAUACAGAGUCAUAUUUUGUUCUAAGAAUUGAGUUGUAAUUCUUGAGUUGAAAGUAAAUAAAAGUGUGAUGAUCAUCAUUAUUAGAGCAUUGUCCCAGUGAGGAAAGAAUGAUGGAGACUAUGAUUCCCCACAAGUCGGGGUGAGACUCCGGACGAAAAUAAAUAAAUAAAAGAGGCCAAAGAAGCCCAAAUAAAAAAAAGAGAAAAGAGGCCAUAAAAAAAGAGAAAAGGCUCAAAUAAAAAAAUAAAUAAAAAAACAUAAAAAAUGAGAGAAAAAGAGAGAAGGGGCAAUGCUACUAUCCUUUUACCACACUUGUGCUUCAAAGUAGCACCAUGAUAUUCAUGAUAGAGAGUCUCCUAUGUUGUCACUUUCAUAUACUAGUGGGAAUCUUUCAUUAUAGAACUUGGCUUGUAUAUUCCAAUGAUGGGCUUCCUCAAAAUGCACUAGGUCUUCGUGAGCAAGCGAGUUGGGUGCACACCCACUAGUUUAUUUUGUUGAGAUUUCAUACAUUUAUAGCUCUAGUGCAUCCGUUGCAUGGCAAUCCCUACUCACUCACGUUGAUAUCUAUUGAUGGGCAUCUCCAUAGACCAUUGAUACGCCUAGUUGAUGUGAGACUAUCUUCUCCUUUUUGUCUUCUCCACAACCACCAUUCUAUUCCACCUAUAGUGCUAUGUCCAUGGCUCAAGCUCAUGUAUUGCGUGAAUAUUGAAGAAGUUUGAGAACAUCAAAAGUAUGAAACAAUUGCUUGGCUUGUCAUCGGGGUUGUGCAUGAUUUAAAUAUUUUGUGUGGUGAAGAUAGAUCAUAGCCAGACUAUAUGAUUUUCUAGGCAUAGCUUUCUUUGGCCAUGUUAUUUUGAGAAGACAUGAUUACUUGGUUAGUAUGCUUGAAGUAUUAUUAUUUUUAUGUCAAUAUUAAACUUUUGUCUUGAAUCUUAUGGAUCUGAAUAUUCUUGCCACAAUAAAGAGAACUACAUGGAUAAAUAUGUUAGGUAGCAUUCCACGUCAAAAAUUCUGUUUUUAUCAUUUACCUACUCGAGGACGAGCAGGAAUUAAGCUUGGGGAUGCUGAUACGUCUCCAACGUAUCUACAAUUUUUGAUUGUUCCAUGCUAUUAUAUUAUGAACCUUGGAUGUUUUAUAUGCAUUUAUAUGCUAUUUUAUAUGAUUUUUGGGACUAACCUAUUAACCUAGAGCCCAUUGCUAGUUUCUAUUUUUUCCUUGUUUUAGAGUAUCGCAGAAAAGGAAAAUCAAACGGAGUCCAAUUGACCUGAAACUUCACGGAACUUAUUUUUUGACCAGAAGAAGCCCACGGAGUAUCAGAGUUGGACCAGGAGAGUCCCGGGCUGCCCACGAGGGUGGGGGGGCGCGCCCACCCCCCUUGCGUGCGCCCCCUGCCUCGUGGACAGCCCGGAGGUCCACCGACGUACUUCUUCCUCCCAUAUCCAUAUACCCUAAAAAUUUCGGGGAACACAAUUGUGACACUCCCAAAUUUUUUAAUUUGGUUUUCAUCAAAAACUUUGUUGGAUUUUAAAAGAGGGCAUUUAAAAUUUCUUUUCCAGAAAUCCUUCCUCUUAAAAAACUUCCUUUCCUUUGGCAAGGAUUUUCUUUUCCCUUUCAAAUUUGGUGUUGAAUUUUUGGAAGCUUUUCCUUCUGGUUGUUACCCUCUCAAACUUAUUUAUUUUCAUAAAAAAAAGAAACCCUAGGAGUUUUGGGACUUCUUUCUUUUUGAAUCCACCCAUGGUUUUACCAUGUCUCCUAUAGUAAAACUUCUCAAAACCCCUCCCUCCACCUUUGGACAAUCUAACUUCUCUAUCCCAACAAGUCCAAACAAGUUUUGUAUUUUAUUUCAAUUAUUUUAUCUCCCAAAACAUUUCUGCCAAUUAUUUUGAGCCUAAGUGAUUUUCAAAGCAAGUACCAUUUUGCCUUUGAGUUCUUGUCCCAAACCAACUUCCCUGGAUUGUGUUUAGUACCCACAACCUAGAACCAUCUUGAUCCACUCUUCUUCUUUUAAAAAAUUUCAAAUUUCACUCACUGCAAGUUUGGACCAGAUUUGCCAAAUUUGGUGAAAUUCAUAUCUACACUCCUCCAAAAAUUCCACCAAAAACCAUGCAGCCUACUAGAGCAAUGAGAAGCCACUCCACCAAAUUUCAGCUCAAGGAAAAAUCCCUAGAUGCGAAAAGCAUUCUGUCGAACACCUGAGCUGCACUGUUCUUUGCAUUUUCUGUAAAGUUCAGUAAAAUUCAGUUUUACAGUGUCGUUUUCUUCAGAGUUCAGUCACAAGCUCACAGUGCGCUUGGCUCGAUGCUCGCAGCCCCUCCCUCUUGUCCGGAGCUUCACACGCGUGCGUGGAGCCUUCCUGGCAUCGGUGGCGCGCUGGCCCGCCCUCGCCGGCGUCUUCUGCGGCGUCGGGACCUCCCGUGGCGGCCGACAGAAGGCACACCACGGCAGAACGCCGUUCAGCGCCGCCCAAGCCAUCUGGUAGCUCCGCGUGGCCGUCUCCCUUGCCAGCGCACGCGUGCAGCACCGCCGCCGUGGCCUGGCACGCGCAGGGCGCGCUCCCUGCUGCCGACGUGCCGCACGGCCGUUCCGUUGGGACAGGCCGUAAAACCCCCUGCCGUGCUGAGCUGGACCCUGGAAUGGCACCACUACUCCACCUAGGCGAUGCCCAAGCCCCUAAUCCCACUUCCCAACCACAGCGCCGCCGUAAUCACUCGCCGGACUUAUCCCGUUCGCGGCAACCGCCUCGGGCCGACUAUAUAUAGCGCCCCUAAGCUCCCUCUCGCCUCCGCACACCUCCACCACCUCACUGGACCCCGACCAGCAACUAGAAGAGCCUCGAGGGGCCCUUCUUCCUCGACUCCGGCCGCCUCGCCCCGCCUCGGCCUCCAGCUCGAUUCACUCCGGUGAGGCCACCUCCGGCACCCAAACCUCGUCCGUAGCCCUCUCUUGCACCCAGUACUCUAACCCCCACCUCAAUUUAAUCUUUGCAGCCCUCUCCGACGAGCUCCAUCCACGCCCGAACCACCGUCCGCCGGAGUUGAGACCGCCGUCGACGUGGUGCUCACCGGCGAUCAGCACCACCACCCACCAUUGCGGAAGGACACGGUGAGCACAUUGGUAACCUCCGAUCCCCCUGCCUCGCCGUGGAUCGCCGCCGGCGACCACCGCAGCUCUCGGGCGCCGACGAGCCUCGUCCCUCCCAUUUUAAAAUUUAAACAUGACAAGUGGGACCCGCUGUCAGCCUCUCUGUCCUUUCUAAACGAAGCGUUAUCUGAAAACGCCUUCUGCCAAAUGCGCUUUCCCUCUGGGCCGGCGUAUUCUCAGCCGAAGCGUUUUCUGUUUUUAUAAGCUAGCCCCUGGAAACUUUCUGUUUCAUUACAGAUGAGUCCCUGGACAAAAACCCUUAUAACUUUUAAACAGAAAGGUAUUUUUGAUUGAUUCUUUUUCUGUUCUCUUUAAAAUUUUGUCUAGUUUUUUAUCAGAUUUAUUUGAAAAAUAUUUGGAAUACUUUUUGUGCACCCCUUGGUAUUUACGAUAGCGCAUAUAUUUUCUUUAUAUCGUAGAUACCGAAGGAGGUGACGGAACCGCAAACUUCACCGAGCUAGGCUCCGACUACUCCGAACCAGGCAAGCAUGUUUGAACUUUUGAUAUGAUGAGUGUCUUGGCAUGUUUUGCAUUUAGUUAGUUUCAUGGCAUGUUGAUAAGCAUACCGAUGAGCGUUAUUUUAUGCAAUGUUGAGGUAAGUGAGUUCGAUGAUCCAUAAGUGGAUGGAUGUGAGUAUGAAUGGCCAUGUGUUGGCAUGAGGAUGGGUAAGAUGGCAGUGUUGUAGCAUGCCAGUCUUAUGCCAGGAUAUAUGACUUUGGUGACAAACCGUAUCGGUCCAGUUACUCCCAUAUCCUUCCCUGUACUACCACAUGUUUUCCGCAAGGAAUAUGGUUUAGUAAGUUGCAAACCGCUUUCCUGGUACACACCAAAAGGAGAGGCCGGGAUGAUGGUUCCAUGGCCCUGGAUUAAAGCCAGUCAUCCGGUCAGGGGGCAUGGGUGUUUCCGGUUGUGACCGAGAGGGGGGCACCCCUUAGAGCGCGCGUAUAUAAAUUUGAUCCCAUGCUAUUCGAGAUUGUGAUCUCCCCGUCUCAAAAGUUUUUCUUGGACGAUGUCUAGGGUGAGUCCUGGAAUCGAGAGGUAGGAUGGGUGUGUACUGGAUAGCUGUGUUUUCUUCCGAAAAACCGUAAACGGAACUAGUCCUUCGUGACUACGGAAAUCCGUUGAUUGUGGGAAAAAUUUUGUACAAACUCUGCAGAGUCAUACAUUCCUUUGAAUCAUCUAUUCCAUAUCCAAAUUCGUAUUAUCUUGUCCUAACAGUGCCAGUUUGAUGACAGAGACUCCGGUGAAUCCCUUGAGUGCUAAGUCCGGCUAAAUGAUAUUCCUGUUGAUGGACUAACCUGGUUAUUAUCAUGAAUUGAAUAUUUAUUAUGAGUAUUAUUUACCUGUGAAUAAAGCCCUUUCUGCGAUGUCGCUCAGACGUUCGACUGUGGCAUUUCUUUUAAAGCCCUUUCUGCGAUGUCGCUCAGACGUCUGACUGUGGCAUUUCUUUUAAAGCCCUUUCUGCGAUGUCGCUUAGACGUCCGACUGUGGCAUUUCUUUUAAAGCCCUUUAUGUGGUGUCACUAAGACGCCCGACUGUGGCAUUUCUUUUAAAGCCCUUUCUGCGAUGUCGCUCAGACGUCCGACUGUGGCAUUUCUGUUAUAGCCCUUUAUGUGGUGUCGCUAAGACGCCCGACUGUGGCAUCAUUUUCUUUCUUUUACAUGUUUCACCUUUCGAGACGUUGCUUUAGACAUCCAUUUAUAUUUUGUUGGGAUUUCUGGCGGACUACCGCCGUUUCCCUUUUACUUAUUUCGUUAUGCUAAUUUAUGAAUGUGCAUUGGUAAAUUAAUCGUGACGCAUUCAUGCAUGCAUUUGUUAUAUCUUACGUCCGAACUGUCUUGCGAGUACUUUCAAAGUACUCACUGGCUUGUUGAUUUGGCCAGAUGCUGACGAAGGCGAUCUCAUGGAUGAAGAAUUUGAUAGCGAGUCCGACGCCCAGAGGAGUCCCAGUCAGUCUCGUGCGACCCUGGAUUUGGUCACUGUAUUAUAUCCGCUCCCGCUACCAAAUAAAUUCACCGAGCCUCACCUCGACGCUCGAUGAGAUGACAGUUUUAGAGUCUUGUAUCUCUCUCCCCGCUGUGUUUUUCCACCACCGCCCUAUCCUCGAGUCAGUAGUAUGCCUCCACACCACUGUGUCAUGUCCGCCAUUAUGUAUAAUUAUUGGCGUGCUUGUAAUAAUUUGGUUGAGCAACCGUAGCUCGACCCUGUAAUAUAUUUUAUGCUACUGGCUUAUUGUAUCAAGAAUUUGUCUACCGGUAAGGAGAAUUUUUCUCAUACUGGACUCAAAAGAUUGGUUUCUCAAUAAAUAUUUUUAUUGGAAAACCGGUCGUGACAAGCUUGGUACCAGAGCCAGGCUGACUGUAGGAAGCCACUAGGUGCGAUCGCUAAUUGGUUAUUAGCAUGAUAGAGCUAAUUUAUAUUUUUGCAAUUGUAGUCAUUUUCUGACUGUCAGCAUGAAUUUAUGAUCUGACCAUUCAGAAUUUUUGCUUACCUUUGUAGAUGGCCAACAAUAGCUGCGAGUCUCAGACCUUCGCCAACGUGCCCGAUGGGUUCGUGAAGCUUCUCUCCUUCAUCGUUCAGGUCGCGAUGGGGCCGUCUGUGCGCCCAGUCUUCACACUCUACCAGCACAAGGUCAACGACAGUCUGACCAUGCACCAGGCCACGGUGCAGUUCAGGGGAGGGCGUGGUGAGUUACGCCGCUUCCGGUUCGUGGGAAGAGCCAUGCCUACGGAGAGGCAUGCUAUGCAGAUGGCAGCCCGUGAGGCGAUAGCUCGCCUCAGGGAUGUCCUUCCCGCGAUGAAGACUCGUCGUUACCGCUAUCUUCCAUGCCAUGUGCCUUACACCUGUCACUACGCAUUCUCCUGCCCCAGAGGAGAACGAGAUGAGGCUUUUGAGAUGCUUAUUGAGUAUCUCCGGGCUCUGGAGGCAGCCUUCGACAACCUGGUGGACGACUUCGUAGCUGCCCGCAUGGACUCAGUCCAUGGCUGUGCCGCCAACAGGAGGGAGCUCCUACCCGCCGCACCGCCACUGACUUUUGUCUCGUCAUCAGCAUCUUAUGCACCUACUCGUCGCCUGCCUACCACCGAAGAGUUCAACCAGGCCAUUGCGCCCACUCCAGCGCGCACUGCACCACCCGUUGUGCCUACUCCUAUUCGUGUUGUUCCACCCCUGACAACCGCUCCAUCCACUCAGCGCAACACUACACGUAUGGAGCCUAUUAGCGAGGAGGAAGUCGAGUCUCCAGCCUCGCUACGCCUCACCCUCGGCAGGGCAAAGGAGGUCGUCAACAUCUCCGCCUGAGUACGCUUAGCCGCCAUGCGAUGUACUGCUUUGUAUGAUAUGUUUAUAUGUACAUAGGUUGUGAGAAGUAGCCUGUUUGCACAUCAUGUAGGAACUGGAGAAGUGCACUAGCCUAAAUAACAUGUCAGGAUUAUGUACGCAUAUCCUGAGUGAUGUAUUGUAUAAUUAUCGCCCGCGUGUAAGAUAUGUAAUGAGCAGUCCUUCUCCGUGCGCAAUUAGAUUUGUUUUCUUAAGUGAUCUUGGUCAUUUAAAUUAUUUGCCAUCCUUGUGCGAUUUUCUUGAUUUUGUUUUACGACCAUUUUCGCUUUUCUUAUGAGUUUUACAAAAUAUAUCCCCAGAGUGAAAAAUGUCUCGUCCUUGGACUCGUUCCAUGCCAACCCCACCAGAGGAAAAUUAUGAUACACAACCCAGCAACAAUUUCGCGCAAGGACAGUCAAGCCAACAGGGAAAUGAAUCGGCACUUUCACAAAUGUGCCGCCUUUAUGAGCAGAGUCAGCAACAACAUCGGGAAAUGAUGAACCAAGUCAUCAACAUGGGAAAUCACCAUGGACAGUAUCAGCAACAUUCCAAGUUAUCUGAGCUACAGAAGACACGCCCCCAAACAUUUUCUCAUACUGACAAACCUCUUGAGGCCGAGGAUUGGCUUCGAGAUAUGGAGAGAAAAUUAAUUAUUGCAAAAUGUUCAGAUCUCGAGAAAGUAUUAUAUGCUCCGCACUAUCUCACAGGAGCAGCUGCAUCAUGGUGGGAGAAUUUUUUGCACAUGCACCCCAACGAAAAUGAUAUAACCUGGGAUGAUUUCAAGGAAGGUUUCCGUGGUGCACACAUUCCCAAGAGUAUUAUGAAAAUCAAGAAAAGAGAGUUCGAAGAUCUCAAACAAAGGAACGUGACAGUGUCAGAAUACCACAAUCAAUUUAAUCUAUUGUCCCGCUACGCCAAUGAAGAGCGUAUGACUGAAAUCAAGAAGAUGGAGAAAUUCCUUGACGGUCUGGCGCCCGCGCUUAAAUGCCAACUGGUCGUGCACACUUUUCCUGAUUUUAAAACACUGGUGGACAAAGCCAUUACUCUGGAAAAUGAGAGACGCAGUCUGGAAGAUAUCCGCAAGCGAAAAAGGGACCAGACUAACCAUGCUCGCAAUCACCGAAGCAAGACAGAUUUUCAAAAGGGUAGGACACACAAAUCCUCAUCCAAUGUCUCACGCCCAAUCAAGAAUUUUCAUGCAAGGGACAAAGAGUUCACAUAUCGCCCAGGCGUUACUUGCUACGCUUGUGGAGAAGAAGGGCACUACGCCAAACAAUGCCCCAAGCCAAGGAACUCGACCCCGAAGCCAAACAAUGGUGGAAAUAAUUCAGCACCCAAGCGCAACAAUUUCAACCCCAACAACAACCACAGGAAGGGUCAUCUAAACCACGUGACCAAAGAAGAAGCACAAAACGCUCCGGAUAUCGUACUCGGUACGUUUCCUAUCAACACAAUACCUGCAACGGUAUUGUUUGAUUCUGGAGCUUCUACUCAUUCAUUUCGAAAAGUUUUGCUUUGCAAAAUAAUUUUUCGAUGUUUCCCUUGGAAAAAUCCAUGAUCAUCAAGUCCCCUAGGAUUCAGCAAGUUACUCAGAGUUACUGUCAGAAUGUGGUUAUUGAGAUCGAAGGAUUGAAAUUUUUCGCCAAUCUUAUUGUGUUGGAAAAUAAGGGACUGGAUGUCAUCCUAGGGAUGGACUGGUUAACCACCAACAAUGGUUUUAUUGACUGUUUCAACCGAACCGUAAUUCUCACGCACCACCACGGGAAGACAAUAAAAGUAUCAUCCAAGGAAAGAAAAAUACCCCGGCAGCCGAGAUUGAAUAAGGUGGACAUUUCUGAGUUAAGCAAGGUUCCAGUGGUAUGUGAAUUUCCAGAUGUAUUUCCCGAAGAACUACCAGGCAUGCCACCAGACCGGGAAAUAGAAUUCAGCAUUGAGCUAGCACCAGGAGCCACCCCCAUAUACAAGAAACCCUACAGAAUGGCACCAUCCGAAUUGAUAGAGUUGAAGAAACAAAUAAAGGAAUUACUGGACAAGGGAUACAUUCGAUCCAGCUCCUCACCUUGGGGAUCACCAAUUUUAUUUGCCAAAAAGAAAGAUGGAACACUAAGAUUGUGCAUAGACUACCGAGCACUCAACAUGGUCACAGUCAAGAACAAAUACCCGAUGCCUCGAAUAAAUGAUUUAUUUGAUCAGCUCGCUCAGGCCAAGGUAUUCUCAAAGAUUGACUUAAGGUCAGGAUACCAUCAAUUAAAGGUGCGAACAGAAGAUAUCCCCAAAACAGCCUUCACCUCCAGAUAUGGACUAUAUGAGUUCACAGUUAUGCCUUUUGGACUAACUAAUGCCCCUGCAUAUUUUGUUCACCUCAUGAACAAAGUAUUUAUGAAGUAUAUGGACAAGUUCGUUGUGGUAUUCAUCGACGAUAUUCUAGUAUACUCCAAGACACCAGAAGAGCACGCGGAACAUCUCAGGAUUGUGCUAGGAGAACUCAGAAAACACCAAUUGUAUGCCAAGUUCAGCAAGUGCGAAUUUUGGCUAAGACAAGUAGGCUUUCUAGGCCACGUACUGACCCAAGACGGUAUCGCAGUGGACCCGGAGAAAGUUAGGGCCAUACUUGACUGGAAGGCACCAGCCAGCGUAACCGACGUAUGAAGUUUCUUGGGAAUGGCAGGAUAUUACCGCAGGUUUAUUGAAGGAUUCUCCACCCUAGCCAAACCAAUGACGCAGUUACUCAAGAAAGAUAAGAAGUUUGAAUGGACAGAAGCCUGCGAGAAAAGUUUCCAAGAGCUAAAGCGGAAAUUAACGACAACACCGGUACUAAUUGUACCCGACAUACACAAGAAUUUUGAAGUAUGUUGUGACGCGUCCAAAAAGGGUCUUGGAUGCGUGUUGAUGCAGGAAGGCAAGGUUGUCGCCUACGCUUCAAGGCAACUUCGCAAGCAUGAGGAAAAUUAUCCCACUCAUGACUUAGAAAUGGCUGCAGUUAUUCAUGCACUCAAGGAAUGGAGGCAUUUCUUACUUGGGAAUCGAUGUGAAAUAUUUACGGAUCACAAAAGUCUCAAAUAUAUUUUCACACAGCCAGAACUAAACUUACGGCAACGACGUUGGUUGGAAUUGGUAAAGGAUUAUGAUGUUGGUAUCCAUUACCAUCCAGGAAAAGCAAAUGUAGUAGCCGAUGCUCUUAGUCGGAACCCCAACUUCGACGAAAACAAUCUGCACAGCUUGAGGCCCGAAUUCCAACAAGAAUUUGCCAAGCUCAACUUGAUGAUGGUAGCAGAAGGCACCAUAUCAAACUUGGUAAUACAACCCAACCUUGUGGAGGAAAUUAAAGGAGCUCAGCCCGGUCACCCCAGCAUCGAAGGCAUCAAAAGAAAGGUGAGUAUGGGCAAGGCCUCAGAAUUCGUCAUAGACAGUGAAGGGAUAUUAUGGUAUGGAGAAAGACUUUGCGCACCAAGCAUAGAAGACCUUAAACAGCAAAUUUUAGCUGAAGCCCACACCGCCCCUUACUCGAUCCACCCUGGAGGAACCAAAAUGUAUAAAGAUAUUCAAGAAAGAUUUUGGUGGCACGGUAUGAAGAGGGACAUAGCCACCUUCAUUGCAUGUUGCGACUCAUGUCAACGCAUAAAAGCUGAGCAUCAGAGACUAGCCGGACUACUGCAACCGAACAAAAUACCUGAGUGGAAAUGGGAUGAAAUAGGGAUGGAUUUCAUUGUCGGACUACCUCAGUCACGACACGGGAAUGAUGCCAUAUGGGUCAUCACUGACAGGUUAACCAAAGUGGCACACUUUAUUCCAAUAAAGACGACCCACAACACUCAGAGGCUUGCCAGGAUUUAUCUUUCCCGCAUAGUUUGUCUGCACAUUGUCCCGAAGACUAUAAUAUCCGACAGAGGCACUCAGUUCGUCUCAAGAUUUUGGGAGCAUUUACAACAGGCUCUGGGAACCCAACUAGCCUUCAGUACCGCAUACCACCCACAGACUGAUGGACAAACAAAACGUGUAAACCAGGUUUUAGAAGACAUGUUGAGAGCAUGUGUCCUCACAUAUGGAACCAGUUGGGAAGAAAGCCUGCCAUACGCCGAGUUCGCGUACAACAAUAGCUACCAGGCCAGCCUACAAAUGGCACCAUUUGAGGCUUUAUACGGACGAAGAUGUCGUACCCCGUUAAAUUGGUCAGAGACCGGAGACAGCCGCAUCUUCGAACCAGACAUGCUCAGAGAAGCCGAGGAAAAGGUCAAGCUAAUCAGAGACCAACUUAAGACCGCUCAAAGUCGACAGAAGAGUUAUUAUGAUCAGAAACAUCGUAGGGUCAGCUUCGAACCCGGUGAGUUCGUAUACCUGAGAGUAUCCCCUAUGAGAGGAUUGCAACGAUUCAAGAUUAAAGGGAAGCUAGCACCAAGAUUCAUUGGACCAUUCUACAUAGUGGCACGAAGAGGCACUGUAGCCUACCAGCUAGACUUACCCAAAGACUUGUCCGACAUUCACAACGUAUUCCACGUCUCUCAAUUGAGGAAGUGCGUAAGCAAACCAGAGAAGCAAGUAUCCCAUGAGAACAUCGACGUGCAGCCAGACCUCACUUAUCGGGAACGCCCAGUAAAAAUAUUAGAGGAGUCUGAAAGGAGGACCCGACAGAAAACCAUCAAGUUUUUACGAGUUCAGUGGAGCAAUCACACCGAAAGUGAAGCAACAUGGGAAAGAGAGGAUUUUCUUCGGACAGAGCAUCCACACUUAUUUAUGGAUCAGCUGAAAUCUCGGGGACGAGAUUUUUCCUAAGGGGGUAGGUGCUGUGACACUCCCAAAAUUUUUAAUUUGGUUUUCAUCAAAAACUUUGUUGGAUUUUAAAAGAGGGCAUUUAAAAUUUCUUUUCCAGAAAUCCUUCCUCUUAAAAAACUUCCUUUCCUUUGGCAAGGAUUUUCUUUUCCCUUUCAAAUUUGGUGUUGAAUUUUUGGAAGCUUUUCCUUCUGGUUGUUACCCUCUCAAACUUAUUUAUUUUCAUAAAAAAAAGAAACCCUAGGAGUUUUGGGACUUCUUUCUUUUUGAAUCCACCCAUGGUUUUACCAUGUCUCCUAUAGUAAAACUUCUCAAAACCCCUCCCUCCACCUUUGGACAAUCUAACUUCUCUAUCCCAAAAAGUCCAAACAAGUUUUGUAUUUUAUUUCAAUUAUUUUAUCUCCCAAAACAUUUCUGCCAAUUAUUUUGAGCCUAAGUGAUUUUCAAAGCAAGUACCAUUUUUCCUUUGAGUUCUUGUCCCAAACCAACUUCCCUGGAUUGUCUUUAGUACCCACAACCUAGAACCAUCUUGAUCCACUCUUCUUCUUUUCAAAAAUUUCAAAUUUCACUCACUGCAAGUUUGGACCAGAUUUGCCAAAUUUGGUGAAAUUCAUAUCUACACUCCUCCAAAAAUUCCACCAAAAAUCAUGCAGCCUACUAGAGCAAUGAGAAGCCACUCCACCAAAUUUCAGCUCAAGGAAAAAUCCCUAGAUGCCAAAAGCAUUCUGUCGAACACCUGAGCUGCACUGUUCUUUGCAUUUUCAGUAAAGUUCAGUAAAAUUCAGUUUUACAGUGUCGUUUUCUUCAGAGUUCAGUCACAAGCUCACAGUGCGCUUGGCUCGAUGCUCGCAGCCCCUCCCUCUUGUCCGGAGCUUCACACGCGUGCGUGGAGCCUUCCUGGCGUCGGUGGCGCGCUGGCCUACCCUCACCGGCGUCUUCUGCGGCGUCGGGACCUCCCGUGGCGGCCGACAGAAGGCACACCACGGCAGAACGCUGUUCAACACCGCCCAAGCCAUCUGGUAGCUCCGCGUGGCCGUCACCCUUGCCAGCGCACGCAUGCAGCACCGCCGCCAUGGCCUGGCACGCGCAGGGCGCGCUCCCUGCCGCCGACGUGCCGCAUGGCCGUUCCGUUGGGACAGGCUGUAAAACCCCCUCCCGUGCUGAGCUGGACCCUGGAAUGGCACCACUACUCCACCUAGGCAAUGCCCAAGCCCCUAAUCCCACUGCCCAACCACAGCGCCGCCGUAAUCACUCGCCGGACUUAUCCCGUUCGCGGCAACCGCCUCGGGCCGACUAUAUAUAGCGCCCCUAAGCUCCCUCUCGCCUCCGCACACCUCCACCACCUCACUGGACCCCGACCAGCAACUAGAAGAGCCUCGAGGGGCCCUUCUUCCUCCACUCCGGCCGCCUCACCCCGCCUCGGCCUCCAGCUCGAUUCACUCCGGUGAGGCCACCUCCAGCACCCAAACCUCGUCCGUAGCCCUCUCUUGCACCCAGUACUCUAACCCCCACCUCAAUUUAAUCUUUGCAGCCCUCUCCGACGAGCUCCAUCCACGCCCGAACCACCGUCCGCCGGAGUUGAGACCGCCGUCGACGUGGUGCUCACCGGCGAUCAGCACCACCACCCACCGUUGCGGAAGGACACGGUGAGCACAUUGGUAACCUCCGAUCCCCCUGCCUCGCCGUGGAUCGCCGUCGACGACCACCGCAGCUCUCGGGCGCCGACGAGCCUCGUCCCUCCCAUUUUAAAAUUUAAACAUGACAAGUGGGACCCGCUGUCAGCCUCUCUGUCCUUUCUAAACGAAGCAUUAUCUGAAAACGCCUUCUGCCAAAUGCGCUUUCCCUCUGGGCCGGCGUAUUCUCAGCCGAAGCGUUUUCUGUUUUUAUAAGCUAGCCCCUGGAAACUAUCUGUUUCAUUAUAGAUGAGUCCCUGGACAAAAACCCUUAUAACUUUUAAACAGAAAGGUAUUUUUGAUUUAUUCUUUUUCUGUUCUCUUUAAAAUUUUGUCUAGUUUUUUAUCAGAUUUAUUUAAAAAAUAUUUGGAAUACUUUUUGUGCACCCCUUGGUAUUUACGAUAGCGCAUAUAUUUUCUUUAUAUCGUAGAUACCGAAGGAGGUGAUGGAACCGCAAACUUCACCGAGCUAGGCUCCGACUACUCCGAACCAGGCAAGCAUGUUUGAACUUUUGAUAUGAUGAGUGUCUUGGCAUGUUUUGCAUUUAGUUAGUUUCAUGGCAUGUUGAUAAGCAUACCGAUGAGCGUUAUUUUAUGCAAUGUUGAGGUAAGUGAGUUCAAUGAUCCAUAAGUGGAUGGAUGUGAGUAUGAAUGGCCAUGUGUUGGCAUGAGGAUGGGUAAGAUGGCAGUGUUGUAGCAUGUCAGUCUUAUGCCAGGAUAUAUGACUUCGGUGACAAACCGUAUCAGUCCAGUUACUCCCAUAUCCUUCCCUGUACUACCACAUGUUUUCCGCAAGGAAUAUGGUUUAGUAAGUUGCAAACCGCUUUCCUGGUACACACCAAAAGGAGAGGCCGGGAUGAUGGUUCCAUGGCCCUGGAUUAAAGCCAGUCAUCCGGUCAGGGGGCAUGGGUGUUUCCGGUUGGGACCGAGAGGGGGGCACCCCUUAGAGCGCGCGUAUAUAAAUUUGAUCCCAUGAUAUUCGAGAUUGUGAUCUCCCCAUCUCAAAAGUUUUUCUGGGACGAUGUCUAGGGUGAGUCCUGGCAUCGAGAGGUAGGAUGGGUGUGUACUGGAUAGCCGUGUUUUCUUCCGAAAAACCGUAAACGGAACUAGUCCUUCGUGACUACGGAAAUCCGUUGACUGUGGGAAAAAAUUUGUACAAACUCUGCAGAGUCAUACAUUCCUUUGAAUCAUCUAUUCCAUAUCCAAAUUCGUAUUAUCUUGUCCUAACAGUGCCAGUUUGAUGACAGAGACUCCGGUGAAUCCCUUGAGUGCUAAGUCCGGCUAAAUGAUAUUCCUGUUGAUGGACUAACCUGGUUAUUAUCAUGAAUUGAAUAUUUAUUAUGAGUAUUAUUUACCUGUGAAUAAAGCCCUUUCUGCGAUGUCGCUCAGACGUUCGACUGUGGCAUUUCUUUUAAAGCCCUUUCUGCGAUGUCGCUCAGACGUCCGACUGUGGCAUUUGUUUUAAAGCCCUUUCUGCGAUGUCGCUCAGACGUCCGACUGUGACAUUUAUUUUAAAGCCCUUUAUGUGGUGUCGCUAAGACGCCCGACUGUGGCAUUUCUUUUAAAGCCCUUUCUGCGAUGUCGCUCAGACGUCCGACUGUGGCAUUUUUUUUAAAGCCCUUUAUGUGGUGUCGCUAAGACGCCCGACUGUGGCAUCAUUUUCUUUCUUUUACAUGUUUCACCUUUCGAGACGUUGCUUCAGACACCCGAUCGGUUUCCAUUUAUAUUUUGUUGGGAUUUCUGGCGGACUACCGCCGUUUCCCUUUUACUUAUUUCGUUAUGCUAAUUUAUGAAUGUGCAUUGGUAAAUUAAUCGUGACGCAUUCAUGCAUGCAUUUGUUAUAUCUUAUGUCCGAACUGUCUUGCGAGUACUUUCAAAGUACUCACUGUCUUGUUGAUUUGGCCAGAUGCUGACAAAGGCGAUCUCAUGGAUGAAUAAUUUGAUAGCGAGUCCGACGCCUAGAGGAGUCCCAGUCAGUCUCGUGCGACCCUGGAUUUGGUCACUGUAUUAUAUCCGCUCCCGCUACCAAAUAAAUUCACCGAGCCUCACCUCGACGCUCGAUGAGAUGACAGUUUUAGAGUCUUGUAUCUCUCUCCCCGCUGUGUUUUUCCACCACCGCCCUAUCCUCGAGUCAGUAGUAUGCCUCCACACCACUGUGUCAUGUCCGCCAUUACGUAUAAUUAUUGGCGUGCUUGUAAUAAUUUGGUUGAGCAACCGUAGCUCGACCCUGUAAUAUAUUUUAUGCUACUGGCUUAUUGUAUCAAGAAUUUGUCUACCGGUAAGGAGAAUUUUUCUCAUACUGGACUCAAAAGAUUGGUUUCUCAAUAAAUAUUUUUAUUGGAAAACCGGUCGUGACAACAAUAGAUCGGAGUUCCACCGCCAGAAGCCUCCGUAGCCACCGAAAACCAAUCUAGACCCGUUCCGGCACCCUGCCGAAGGGGGAAAUCCCUCUUUGGUGGCCAUCUUCAUCAUCCUGGUGCUCUCCAUGACGAGGAGGGAGUAGUUCUCCCUCGGGGCUAAGGGUAUGUACCGGUAUCUAUGUGUUUGAUCUCUAUCUCUCUCUCUCUCUCUCUCUCUCUCGUGUUCUUGAGGUGGUACGAUCUUGAUGUAUCGCGAGCUUUGGUAUUAUAGUUGGAUCUUAUGAUGUUUCUCCCCCUGUACUCUCUUGUAAUGGAUUGAGUUUUCUCUUUGAAGUUAUCUUAUCGGAUUGAGUCUUUAAGGAUUUGAGAACACUUGAUGUAUGUCUUGCGUGGGAUACCCGUGGUGACAAUGGGGUAUUCUAUUGAUCCACUUGAUGUAUGUUUUGGUGAUCAACUUGCGGGUUCCGCCCAUGAACCUAUGCAUAGGGGUUGGCACACAUUUUCGUCUUGACUCUCCGGUAGAAACUUUGGGGCACUCUUUGAGGUUCUAUGUGUUGGCUGAAUAGAUGAAUCUGAGAUUGUGUAAUGCAUAUCGUAUAAUCAUACCCACGGAUACUUGAGGUGACAUUGGAGUAUCUAGGUGACAUUAGGGUUUUGGUUGAUUUGUGUCAUAAGGUGUUAUUCUAGUACGAACUUUAGGGCUGUUUGUGACCCUUAUAGGAAUAGCCCAACGAUUGAUUGGAAAGAAUAACUUUGAGGUGGUUUUGUACCCUACCAUAAUCUCUUCGUUUGUUCUCUGCUAUUAGUGACUUUGGAGUGAAUCUUUGUUGCAUGUUGAGGGAUAGUUAUAUGAUCCAAUUAUUUUAUUAUUGUUGAGAGAACUUGCACUAGUGAAAGUAUGAACCCUAGGCCUUGUUUCCUAGCAUUGCAAUACCGUUUGUGCUCACUUUUAUCAUUAGUUAGCUUGCUGUUUUUAUAUUUUCAGAUUACAAAAACCUUUAUCUACUAUCUAUAUACCACUUGUAUCACCAUCUCUUCGCCGAACUAGUGCACCUAUACAAUUUACCAUUGUAUUGGGUGUGUUGGGGACACAAGAGACUCUUUGUUAUUUGGCUGCAGGGUUGCUUGAGAGAGACCAUCUUCAUCCUACGCCUCCUACGGAUUGAUAAACCUUAGGUCAUCCACUUGAGGGAAAUUUGCUACUGUCCUACAAACCUCUGCACUUGGAGGCCCAACAACGUCUACAAGAAGAAGGUUGUGUAGUAGACAUCAAACCCAACCAUAGAAAUUAAGCAUCAAGUCCCCUUUAUCCCAUAUGCAACAACCUCCUUACUCGGGUUUAUGCUUCUGUCACUCACGCAACCACUAUAAGUGAAUCAUGAAUGUAUUGCAACACCCUACAUCGGGAAUCCCUCAUGCUUGCGCGACACGGAGGGCACAACAGGACAACACCUAAAUAAAACAUACAACUCAUACCAAUCUAGAUCAUCAAUCAACCCAAAGACAAAAGAUAUCUACUCAAAACAUCAUAGGAUGGCAACACAUCAUUGGAUCAUAAUGUGUGGCAUAAGGCACCAUGUUCAAGUCGGGAUUGCAGCGGGGUGCGGGAGAGUGGACCACAUAAAAGAGAUGAGGAUGGUGGUGUUGAGGAAUACGAUCACCGCGGCGAUGAUUCCCCUCUCGAUGGCACUCUAGUGCCACCAAGAGAGAGGAGGAGAGGUUCUCCCCCUUGUGCUUCCUCCUCCAUGGCCUCCCCCCUGGAUGGGGAGAGGUUCCCCCUCUGGUCCUUGGCCUUCAUGGUGAUGAUGGACCCUCCGGGAUCCUCCUCCAUGCCCUCCGGUGAUGAUGGCCCCUGUCGGCAUUCUGGGAACGGGGGUCCCCAGACUUGCCUGCCUUCGGCCUGCGGCAUGGCUCAAGUGGGGGCCCAGCGCUGCCCAUCUUCAUCAUCUCAAGCUCAAGACCCUCGCGAGGGGCCAAGCCUCGCGGGGCGGAUGACAGAAAGCUUCCUCAGAAGCAGCCUCAUCAGGCAGGCUCACAAGGAGGCGGAGAGAUCAAGGCAGGGGUACCUCGCGAGGAGCCCGUGACGCAAGCCAUGACGAUCGAGACCAGGCGGGCGCCAGGCGGGCGCCGGCCUGCGCAGUGUCCUUGUUUCCCCUUUGGUGCAAAGGGGGCAAGCACAGGCCAAGGCAUCGGGCAAAGGUUGCCAUUUCGGUGCAAUGAGACCAAGACCAGCAGAGCGGCAGGACGGAGGUCACCGUGGAGCCCAAGACGGCGUCAUCACCAGUGCUUUUGGCAGCCGAAGACCACCUUUGGUCAGGAUAACUUGUACUAUAUGUUCCCCUUCAAAAUGGCCAAUUGUUGGCGCCCUUCCCGCUCAUUAUUUGGGGAGAGGCCCAGGGCCUCUAUAAAUAGGGCUAGCCACCACAGAGUAGAGAGGAGGGGAAAAGAGAUCCAGAAAACCCCGAAACAUCGAGAGAUCUGGUAGAACCCUAGCAGAGAGAGAGAGAUAGGCGACUGAACUCACCCUAGUAGUUCAUCGCACCAGCUCAAGAACACAUCUCGCGAGGCUGUUCUUACCUUGUACUGUUCAUCAUCAGCCCCUGAGGCAAUCCACCACACCACACACUGGAGUAGGGUAUUACACCACAAUGGUGGCCUGAACUAGUAUAAACCUUGUGUCCCUUGUGUUGUUUGUUGUUUCCAACUUAGAUCAUGCGAGGAGAUUGGACGUAGAUCGGUAGGGGAGAGAUCUCCGCGCGCACCCCAUUGUUCGAACCUCAAGGGUCUGCCGGAACCCGAAAUCUGACAUUUGGCGUGCCAGGUAGGGGUGCGCCAGAAUCUUUCUUCCGCCGUUCAUGUGUGAUCUUCCGUCAUGUCCAUGGCUGACGCUCGUCGGGCUUGCGCCGAGCGCCGGGCUACUCUUGCCACCCGCGUCGCCCAGACGACGCCCGUCAGCGGACGUCCUCGUCGUUCCCCGUCGCCUGCCGCCAACGCAGCCACCGGCCCAGCGGGGAACGAGCAGCAGGCCUCCUCCCAGCAUCCUUCGGUGCGGCGGGAGGGCCGCACCGCCACACCAUCGCUGACUCCAGCCGCUUCGUGGUCCCACGCCCGUCGCGCCCCCAUGGACGCGCACGCCGCGUUACUCCUGGCAAGAGAACUCUUGCACUACCGCCCCGUCGACGGCCUCUACGAAGACUGGCUCGCCCGCAUCACCGAGCCCGUCAGCGCCGCAGGGGGCUCCCCCUUGCCGUCCCUCUUGCUGCCUCUCCCUCCAUUCUGCGCAGGAGGUGAGGAUCAGGAGGUGCCUCCACCACCUCCUCCCCAAGGAGGCGCCCUGGCUCCAAGGCGCGCAGCCCCGGAGCGAGACCCUCCGCGUCCGGCGCCUGCGCAGCAAGAAAGGAGCUGCUAAGAGAUUCCUCAUCCCCAAGAAGGCGCUCGCGCGCUCCCGGCGCCGGCGCGCCAAGAUCGCGUCCCUGCACCUCCAUGCCAAGACCCCGCGCUGCUCCAAGCGGCGGCGCGCGGUAAUCCCCAGGAGCAAGCCCAGUACUAGCAAAAGGCAUCGGUGGCCACAGCAGGCUGCCGCGCCCUCACCCCCGAGCUACGCGGCGUCGCAUGGCCAGACAAGUUCAAGCCUGACCUGCCCCCUCGCUAUGAUGGCACGGCGGACCCUGCGGAGUUCCUGCAACUCUAUGAGCUAUGCAUCGAAGCCGCCAACGGAGACGAAAGGGUCAUGGCGAACUGGUUUCCCAUGGCGGUCAAGGACGGGGCCCGCACCUGGCUCCUAGCACAAUCUCCUCCUGGGAUGAGAUGCGCACUCGCUUCAUCGCCAACUUCCAGGGCACUCGCGACCGGCCCCCGGCCGUGAGCGAUCUGCGCCGCAUCAAGCAGCAGCAACAAGGGGAAACCCUGCAGAAAUACAUCCAGCGCUUCAACAACGCUCGCCUCAAGAUCCCCAAGGUGACUGAAGAAGCUAUCAUCUCGGCCUUCUCCGAUGGCGUAUGCGACGUCAAGAUGAAGGAGGAGCUAGCAAUCCAUGAAGACCUGUGCACAUCCCUGGAGCUGUUCAACUUGGCGACCAAGUGUGCCAGGACUGAGGAAGGGCGCCUUUCCCUCCUCGAGCUCCCGACUGUCGACCCAGAAGAGAAGAAGCCCAAGGCCAAGGACGUGAAGCGCAAGGGGGCUGCCGUGAUUGUAGUGGAGCCAGACACCAAGCGAGGCAGGGAUCAGCCUGAGUCAUCCAAGGGCAGCCGGUACUGCAUGUACCACAACCUCCACACCCACAACACCAACGAAUGUCAAGAGCUCAGGGCCGUGAGAGAUGGACUUGUCGGCCGACGCCCCGAGCGCAACGACAGGGGCUAUGGCCGAGGAGGAGGAAGAGGUGGUGGACGAUGGGAAGACCGUGGCCCUCUCCAAGGGUGGCACGACCGACCUCGCGAGGAUCACUGGCGGGACCAGCCUCGCGAGGGAGGCUGGAGAGAUCAGCCUCGUGAGAAUCACCCGCGCGGCAACGCAGGCCUUCCUCCUCUGCCGCCACCGCCAAGGAGGAACGAAGACCAACAUCAGGACGAGGGGGCUGGGGGCUUCCAGGAGCCGCGCGCAAUCGCUUGCAUCUUGGGUGGCACGCAGGCCCCAGCCUCACAGCGCAUCUUCAAGCAGUUUGCUCACGAGGUGAAUGCAGUCCUCCCCAAGCUUGAGGCCAUGCGCCCUCUCAGGUGGUCCGCAUAUGCUAUCACGUUCAGCUCAGCGAAUCAGCUCAAGUGCGCGGCAACGGCCGGAGUCCUCCCUAUGCUUUGCUCCCCAGUCAUCAACAACGUGCAGGUCACCAGGACCCUCAUUGACGGCGGAGCAGGACUCAACGUCCUGUCCGUCGAGACGUUCGACAAUCUCCAAGUGCCGUAUGAUCAGCUUUAGCCAACCAAGCCCUUCUCAGGAGUCACUGAUCGUUCCACUGUUCCGAUAGGGCAGGUUCACCUUCCAGUCACCUUCGGGCAGCGCAACAACUACCGCACCGAGCUCAUCAACUUCGACGUCGUCCACAUCCAUCUGCCAUACAAUGCCAUCCUUGGGUACCCAGCCCUGGCGAAGUUCAUGGCAGUGACUCACCAUGGAUACAAUGUCCUCAAGAUGCCAGGAAGCGGUGGAGUCAUCACCGUACCCUGUGAAGAAAGGGACGCAGCGUGUUCACUUGAGCACGUGUUCCAAGCCACAGCAAUCGAAGACCCGGACCGCGGAAACGAAAGACUUCCCGAGGUGACCCCCAAGAAGAAGAAGGCUUCACCUGGCCCAAGCCAUCAGGAGGCAGGCGCCUCCGGAGGUGUUGGGUCAGGAUCUGCGCCCAAUCAGGGAGCGCCACCCUCUCUCGCAUAGGAAGGCGCACCCGGCGCCCUCCUCAGGCAGGGCUCGGGGGCUCUUUCUUGGAGAGCCACUGACUUUGCCAAGGUCGCGAGGGAGGCGCUCGGGCACCACUUGGAGGGGUGCUUCCAGGCACGUUUCCCUCAGGAAGGUACAAGGCAAGGAAGACCAAACCCUCAGGAGUUCAUCGCAAGCAACACUCAGGAGCUACAGGAGUCGAGAGUCAUGCGCGGCAGCCGCCGCUUGCCCGCCAUGGCCCCACAUCCAGGCGAGGAUGGUGGACUGCGCGUCUACAUCGAUGUACCAGGGCUCAACCGAGCCGUGUCUCAGGAGCGCCUGUGGCCUUCGCGCAUGGUGCGUUGCGAGGGUCCGCCUCACAGCUACGUUCGCAUGGCUUUCGGCCUGCCGAAUGCGGUCGCCGCCCAUCAGCGCUUUCCGAGGAGUAUUCUGGAGGCUCAGGAGGUCAGGCAUCGUGUGGUCCUGGCAGAGAUGGAGAUGGCUCUCAGAGACCCACCUGUGCCCCCGGAGCCUCCCGAGGCUCCUGGGCCUGGGGGCUUGUGAGGGUCGACGUCUUCAUCGCGCAUCGCCCGCUUCUUCAACAUCACUUCAUCUUCAACGGCACCAGGUGACAUCUUUCUAAGUUCCAUUUUUAGCUGGGAGCGCCCAUAGGGCCGCAUUAUUCCUAGGUCGUGUGGGUCCAUCCUUGCGGCAUGUAUCCAUUUUGCUUAUGCCCCUUACUUACCUUGUCGGGGGCGCCCCUUGGGCUGCAUCAUCCCCGAGCUGCUCGGGCCUGGCCCUGCGUCGUUUGCUUUUCCCGCGUCUACUUAAAAUGUAUUUGCUCUUUCGCGCUCAAUUAUCACCUGCUGCUUAUCGCAGACUUCUCCGCUUUCAUGCAAAGCGCUUGCACGUUAAAAGGGGGUACCUGAGCAUCGCGACUCAUGGACUCCUACUGGCUCUCCAGCCCUCACCCCCUGGCCUUGACCCACGGCAUCGCGACCUGUCAUACCAGCGACGGCUGAGCUCGCUCAAGGGCCGGGACCUGAGGACGUACAACAUUUGCAUUCUAACCACCCUGCAGGAACACACCGUUGAUAAAGGCCCAGAGCCAGGCGCAACCCGCCUCGAGGUAGGGCCUCAUGAGUCCCGCGCUGGCUCACGAGUGCCCAGAUACACCUCCCCUAGUCCUACUGUGCUGGCCACGUGUCAGGGCGGGGCUGUACACGCCCCCGGGGCUCCUCCCGGAGGGGAGCCCCCUCCCACGUACCAGUGGAAGCACCAUGCUCCGCGCUGGCUGAUGACACUGCCGAGGAGCGGCUAUGCCCGCACACAUACGGAAGUGCUAUGCUCCGCGCUGGUGAUAAACAACUGAGGGCGGCCUCCGGCCGUACCAACCUCAAGGAUCCCAGAGCUCAGUGUCCGGCACCUUCGCAACGCCUCCCCUCGGGAGCGCUGCGCGAGGGGGCUGGACACGGGGGCUACGCCCGGGCCUCGCCCGAGCGCACGCCACCCAGCCAGGUCCCUCGGACCUGGUCGUCACGUGCCCCUCCCCGAGCGGAGCCAAGGUAUGGAAACCCGUUUGAACGUCAAGGGGGACUCCUGAGCAUCGCGACUCAGGAGCCUAACUUGCCCCAUAGCCCCUCACUCCUUAGUCCCGUCCUGGUUUCCGGUCGGGGCUAAUGCUGGGUGAGGUACGCGCGGGGCCAGGCCCUGCCGACGCAGAAUGAUCAAUCCACUCCUCGUUCCCCCCUUUCCUACUUGUUGCUUGUGCGUCAAGGGGGACUCCUGAGCAUCACGACUAAGGAGCCUAACUUGCCACGUAGCCCGUUGCUCCUUAGUCCCGACCUGGUUUCCGGUCGGGGCUAACGCUGGGUGAGGUACCCGCGGGGCCGGGCCCUGCCGACGUUGAGCGCGAGCAAGUAGGGGAGAAAAAUGCAAAUUCUAGGAAAUUCAAAGCAAAUAUUACAAGCCAUAGAUUGUUUCACGACAUCAAACACAAUUAUAAACGCCUCCGUGAGGCAUGGUGCAUGUUGCAGGAAUAAAAACAAGACAGAAGCCACGAAGGGAUCACUCUCGAGUGGCGUCGCCUCCUGGGGCCGCGGAGCUGGCGGCACCACGCCCGGGCAAGAUGCUAAAGGCGCGGAACCUUCCCAGCAAAGCUUCGGCUGGACCUUUCACGACCUCAGCGGCAGCGGCGGCAAGGUCACCGCUCACGGGCUCCAGCAAGCUGUCGAGGUCGACGUUGGGGUCGCGCAGGUAGACUUGGCUGAGGACACGCGUCAGCGCCGCCGAAGAUAGGGCGCGCGCCUCGGCCUCGGCCGUGGGGCCAAGGCCGUCUACGACAUCUUCAAGCGCGCGGACCAGGUAGGGAAGCAUCUUGGCGGGGCCGUCCUCCGCGCCGGCCAGCGGCUCCUCCAAGCUGCUCUCGUAAAGCGUCUUCAGCGCGGCAUGAGCCCUCUUCUCCAUCUUCGCGAAGGCCACCCGAUCCUCCGCCAGGACCUUCGCCUUGGCGUCCAGCUCGGCCCUCUCCGCCUGCAGCAACUGCUCUAGUGUCUCCAGUUUGCCGUGGCGGUCAUCGAGCUUGGUGUCCCGGUCCUUGACGGCAACCUCCCGAGACUUCAUCUCCUUCUCUUUCUCCUAGCGGCCGUGGACCUCCUUGGCGAGCUCGUCGCGCAGGCCUUGCAGCUCGACCUCCAGCUCCUUGCAGCGAGCCUUAGCAGCCGCAGCGUCGCCCAGGGCAGCGUGGCGGGCGGCCUUGGCUUGGUUGGCGGCCUGCUUCUCCCCAUUGGAGGCCGCCACGGCCUGGCUCAGCGCUGCUCGGACAGAGGCAGCAGAACGGGCCUAGCCAGAAGCUAGCUCCAAGUGUCCGGCCGCUAGGCGAGGGUCUACGCUCAGAAGAUCCUCCUGCAGCUGGCUCAGUUCGCUGGCGACCUGGUCCAGGACGGCGGCAGAGGAAGCAGAAGAAGCAUGAACCAGCGAAGCGGGCGAAGAAGACGGCGGCAUGAUCACGACUUGGCAGGAAGGAACCCCCUGGGCCUUGGAUGCCCCGGCUCCAGCAUCGAGCGCAGUCGACUCCAGGGUCAGCGGGGCCAUGGGGGACGACUCCUCGCCAAGGCGUCCCAGUCGGCCUCGCGAGGACGAUCGGACCAGGGAGGCGCGAGCCGCGCCAUCUUCCUCCCUAGCGGACAAAGGCACCGCCCCGGCAGAUGGACUCGCACCAAGUGGAGCCGCAGAAGCCCCUCUCAACCUCUUCGCUGCAGGCGCCGGCCUGACAAGAGAAUAUGGACGUCAAGCCUCGGCGACAGAAACCAAGAAAAGCGGGAAUCAAGCACUUACUGGUCGUCGCUCGCGGACCCAAGCAACUUUCGGCCGAACUUGAAGCCCAAGAGCCUGCAGCUUGGGUCAUCCUCGGGAGGCCCGGAAGCAGAAGCCACGUCGGGAGGGCUGGGGUUGGCUUCAGACCACCCAGGGAUCAGAGCGGACCCUGGGGGAACCAGCCCCGACCUGCCCUUCCUUGUGACCAAGGGAGAGUCCUCCCCUCCUCGCCCGGCGCCGGCAUCAUCAUCAUCCGGCAUGGAGCGGAGGGCCUGAGACCUGAGCCGAGGGAAGGACUCCCCCGACUCCUCGCCAGUCGCCUCGAAGACGGACUCUUCCUCCUCCGCCUCUUCUUCCUCCUCACUCUCGCUGGAGCUACCGGAGGACACGCCCACCAUCGCCAGUGCCGCAAGAUCCUCGGGAGCUACCGCGGGCACCAGCCCCUCACCGUUGAAGGUGGGCAUGGCGUUCACCACCUGCUCCCAGUCGUCGCAAAGGAACAGGGGGACGGGGGCGCCCACCGGCUUUGCCACAUCUCCCCCAACCAAGAAAUGGAGGGCUGCGACCAGAUUCUCGUCGGUCAAGGCCUCCGAGCUCAGGCGCAAGGCGGCGUCUGCUUCCCCAAGCCUCCACAACGGGAGCGAGUGCUCCUGGAGUGGAGCCACCCGGUGCUCCAAGAACUCCCUUAGGAGCGUGGCUCCAGUAAGCUUCGCCGCCCCCAAGUUGCUUGGCCUCAGGUCCGCGUCCAUCCUCUUCAGCAUCGCCUUCACACAGGGGUUGACAAGCUCCACGCGGGAGCACGCGUCGACGGCCUUGGGCUGCCCCGUAGGCAGCACCAGAUGGGGGUGGAGACGCCCGACAUCCACCAUGACCCACUUGCUCCGGAAGCCUUCGAUCCUCUUCCCAGGCUUCGAGAUGGCAUUGGAAUUGGAGUACGCGAUGAAGCUCGCACAUGCGGAGACAUGGACACCAGAAACCCGGAGGAAAAAAUAGUGACGCAACAAGGCCACCGAGGGCUUUACCUCGACGUGAUCCUCACAGUAGUAAGAAAGAAUUGCCAGGAGAAGAACGGAGUUGGGGUGGAGGUGCAGAGCCUGCAAGUUGUACUGGCGGAGAACAGCAAAGAAGAAAUAAGAGAAAGGAGGCACUAGACCGGCGACAAUGGCACUCACAAAGAGCGGAUAGAGGGUGCUCCCCUUGGCUUCAGGCUGGUCGAAGCCGGCCUUGAGCACAGUCGCCCCCUUGCUUCCCUGCGCCACCGUCAUCAGGCGCGUGACGACAAGGUUCUUCUCCGACAGGUUCGGGGAAUCCAGGGCCGGCGAGUACGAGGCCUCGGUCGGGGACUUGCGAGGUGCCAUGGCGUGCCGGAUGAGAAGGAUUGAGAUAGAUCUAGAGGAUUUCGGAAGCAAGAAGGAGGAGAGUGAGAAAGGGGAUCUGGAGCGAGGCGAAGGAGAACAAAGCAAGUAAGUCUAGCCUGGGCACCUCUUUUGUCAGAUGGGCAGUUGCUGACGCGUCGUGGGUAGCGCAGACGCCCACGUCCAAUCAAUCGCCACGCGGCGCCCAAGGCCGCAGGCUGUUGGGGCCCGUGGCGCUUCGCGCUUGCCCUUUUUCUUUCCUGCUAGGCCAAGCCCGGACGUGCCUUGGGCCCGGGGGCUACUGUCGGCGUUUUGGGAACGGGGGUCCCCAGACUUGCCUGCCUGCGGCCUGGGGCAUGGCUCAAGUGGGGCCCCAGCACGACCCAUCUUCAUCAGCUCAAGCUCAAGACCCUCGCGGGGCGGAUGACAGAAAGCUUCCUCAGAAGCAGCCUCAUCAGGCAGGCUCGUGAGGAGGCGGAGUGAUCAAGGAAGGGGUACCUCGCGAGGAGCCCGUGACGCAAGCCAUGACGAUCAAGACUAGGCGGGCGCCAGGCGGGUGCCGGCCUGCGCAGUGUCCUUGUUUCCCCUUUGGUGAAAAGGGGGCAAGCACAGGCCAAGGCAUCGGGCAAAGGUUGCCAUUCUGGUGCAACGAGACCAAGACCAGCAGAGCGGCAGGACGGAGGUCACCGUUGAGCCCAAGACGGCAUCAUCACCAGUGCUUUUGGCAGUCGAAGACCACCUUUGGUCAGGAUAACUUUUACUAUAUGUUCCCCUUCAAAAUGGCCAAUUGUUGGCGCCCUUCCCGCUCAUUAUUUGGGGAGAGGCCCAGGGCCUCUAUAAAUAGAGAUAGCCACCACAAAGUAGAGAGGAGGGGAAAACAGAUCCAGAAAACCCCGAAACAUCGAGAGAUCUGGUAGAACCCUAGCAGAGAGAGAGAGAGAGAGGCGACUGAACUCACCCUAGCAGUUCAUCGCACCAGCUCAAGAACACCUCUCACGAGGCUGUUCUUCCCUUGUACUGUUCAUCAUCAGCCCCUGAGGCAAUCCACCACACCACACACUGGAGUAGGGUAUUACACCACAACGGUGGCCCGAACCAGUAUAAACCUUGUGUCCCUUGUGUUGUUCGUUGUUUCCAGCUUAGAUCACGCGAGGAGAUUGGACGUAGAUUGGUAGGGGAGAGAUCUCCGCGCACACCCCUGUGUUCGAACCUCAAGUGUCUGCCGGAACCCGAAAUCCGACAGCCCCCUCCGACAGGGUGCUGGAGAGGGCCUAGAUUGGUUUUCGGUGGCUACGGAGGCUUCUGGCGGCGGAACUCCCGAUCUAGGUUAAUUUUUGGAGGUUUCUGUAUUUAUAGGAGAAGUUGGCGUUGAUUUCAUGUCAGGGGGGCCCUCGGGGAGUCCACGAGGCAGGGGUGGGCGCCCCCUCCCUUGUGGGGCCCCCGUGACUCCCCUCCGGUGGAUUUCAUUCCAGUAUUUUUCAUAUUUUCCAGAAAAAAUCUCCGUUGAUUUUCAUCGCAUUCUGAGAACUUCUAUUUAUGCACAAAAACAACACCACGGUAGUUCUGCUGAAAACAGCGUCAAUCCGGGUUAGUUCUAAUCAAAUAAUACCAAAAUCAUAUAAAAAUAUUGUAAACAUGGCAUGAAUACUUCAUAAAUUAUAGAUACGUUGGAGACGUAUCAUACCUCUACAUCUACCUUCGAGAUUAGUUUUAGACCUGAAUAAUUGUUAUUUGGUGCCAGCGUUGAGCAUGAACAUUAUAUCUGGAUCUUGUUUAGUGUGAGACGGUUAUUCAUUUAAAUAAGAUAAUAAUGGUUGUUCUAUUUAUAUGAGUAAUUUUUUU